Molecule: long non-coding RNA, 76392 nt
Filed under: Setaria viridis
Lineage: Eukaryota; Viridiplantae; Streptophyta; Magnoliopsida; Poales; Poaceae
Description: long non-coding RNA (SVIR_LNC006252)
Source: RNAcentral
GCGUAAGGUGAAGAUGUUGUGGGAGGACCAGGGCAUAGCAGGGGAGAUCCAAAAACUCAAGAUACUCGUGACAGAGCAUAGUGACCGGGCCAAACGCUACCCUGUGGGAAUGCGGUGCGACUCACCUCAGCCGGUGCGCUUGGAUCCUCGAGCAACUGCCCUCUUUCAGGAGGCGAGGGAUCCUGUGGGAAUUGAUGGUCCUCGCGAGGAAAUCAUCCAGUUAUUACAAGUUGAAGAAAAUCAGCACAAGGUGGUGUCCAUCUAUGGUACCGCUGGGCAGGGGAAGACUACUCUAGCCAUGGAGGUAUACCGAAAAAUCACACAAGCAUUUGAUUGCAGGGCUUUCGUGUCUGUAUCUCAGACUCUGGAUAUGAAGAAGCUACUCAGAGAUAUAUUGUCUCAAAUAGUAAGCACGAGCGAGUUUGACCAGUUGCAGUCGGAAAGGUGGGAGACGGAGCAGCUCAUGCGCAAAAUGAGAGACUACUUAAUUGACAAGAGGUAACCAGAAUUACUUUCUUGUACUAUAAUAAUUAGCCAGUUCAUCUAGCUAUGGCAAUGUUGUGAGGUCUUUGUCGAUCACAUGAGCUCACCAAAUUUAUCGGCCAUUUUACGAUUGUAUUUUAGGGACCCAUUCGAGCAUAAAACUACCACGUAUGCAUUUGUUACAUGAUUCCUCAACCAAUGCAUGCAGGUACUUCAUCUUGAUUGAUGAUAUCUGGAAUGUAUCAGAUUGGGAGCAAGUAGAAGCUGCCUUACCUCGCAAAGACAACGGAAGCAGAAUAAUUACUACAACACGUAGUAAAACAGUAGCUGAAACAUGUGCUGGUAUUGAUGCACAAAUGUACAAAGCAAAGCCACUUGGUGAUGACGAAUCUCGCAGAUUAUUCUUUAAAAGGCUAUUUCACUCAACUGAACAUUGUCCCCAAGAUUUGAUGGCAGUAUCCAGUGAUAUUUUGAGGAAAUGUGGGGGAAUACCUUUAGCCAUAAUCAGUAUAGCUGGUUUAUUAGCAAACAGAAGCAAAACCAAGGAAGUCUGGGUCAAUGCAUUGAAGUAUAUUUCUGCUGCAGUUGACAAAGAUUCUCACAUUGAUAAAAUGAAAAGAAUUUUUCUGCUUAGUUACUUUGACCUUCCUCUUUAUCUAAGGAGCUGUAUGUUAUAUCUGAGCGUGUUCCCGGAGGAUUAUGUGAUUGAUUGUAGACAGUUGAUAUUGUUAUGGGUAGCCGAAGGACUGAUUCCUGGACAAGGCAGAGAAAAUAUGGAGCAGCUUGGGAGGAGUUACCUUAAUGAGCUGAUCAAUAGAAGCUUGGUCCAGCCAACCAAGGUUGGGGCAGUUGCCGCAACAGUGAAAGAGUGCAGAGUUCAUGAUGUCAUACUUGAGUUUAUUGUAUCAAAGGCUUUGGAGGACAAUUUUGUUACUAUAUGGAAUCGUAAUGGGUUUUCUGAAAAUUAUUCUUCUAACAAGAUUCGCCGUUUAUCUAUCCAAUAUGGUAUUUCUAUGCGGGCUGAAGAGAUGGUGAAGAUAAAAGAACAGGCAGCUCAUAUUCGAUCAAUCAAUAUUUUUGACCCUAAUUCAGUGCUGCUAAUUAAAAACACCUCUAUGUUUUUAAGUAGCCAAGUCUUGCGAGUGCUGAAUACACAAACUCAGGAGAAGUUACUUGAAGAUUGCUAUCUUGGACAUGUCAAAAGUUUUGGUCAAAUGAAGUACUUGAGGUUAAAAUUUUGGUCAUCAAUAUGGCACUGCAAACUCCCAGAAGAUAUAGAAAAGCUGCAACAUCUUCAGACACUAGAUGUUAGGUGUAGCAGCAUUGAAAAACUACCGGCUAGCAUUACCCAAUUGCAGAGAUUAGUGCGUCUUCUUGUACAUAAUGAGGUAAAACUACCUGAUGGGAUUGGAAAUCUGCAGGCAUUGGAAGAGCUAUCAGUGAUCAAUUUGGAUAUUCAAACUAUCAAGUUUAUCCAAGGGCUCGGCGAUCUGACCAAUCUGAAGGUACUUGGAAUUGAGUGGUGGUACGCUCAUGCAGAAGUACGUCACGUGGACGUGGAAGGCCACAAGGAAGCAUGUAUCUCGUCACUCUCCAAGCUUGUCACAACCCUUCGAGAACUGCGCAUCAUGCAGGAUGCUUAUGACAAACUUUCAUUCAUGGCUUCGUGUGGCUCUACUCCACCACCCCUUCGGAAGCUCAUCAUUCGUGGAUGUGUCCUGCCCCAUCAAAUCAUCAGCUCGCUAGUCAACCUGACCCGCCUCUGUAGUGGACUAGUAAGCCAGGAAGGGAUAAAUAUCCUAGCAAGUUUGCCCAUGCUCCUCUCUAUUACUGUUUGUGUUUCCUUUGCAGAGGGUAAUUCUGGAACCAGGUAUACAAUCAGCAGUCAAGGAUUCCAGCGUUUAGUCAAGUUUAAUUUCAUGUGUGUUGAUGAGGGGGCGUUGGAGUUUGAGCCAGGAGCCAUGCCAUGUGGCUGCAGGCACGGGGUCAGUUCAAUUAUGAGCAAGGCGGCCUGGUCCUUGGGCUGCAGAAUCUGGCAGGCCUCAGACAUGUUGCUCUUCGUAUUGCCAGUUAUCAAGCUACUCCUGACGAGGUGCAGGAUUUGGAGGAUGACAUCAGGGUUGCAGCAGGCGCCCAUCCCAACCGUCCCGUGGUCCAGCUGGUCAAUAAAUUACGUCAAGUUUGUAUGGCUCAAGGGUGCAGCAGGCGCCCACGCGACCAUCCCAUGCUAGAAGCACAAUGACCAAGUAAAUGCAUGGUGUGGAGAAUAAAUAUCAUGAUCAAUGAUGAUCUUUUUUUUUCCUGUUUCAAGAGCAUGUUGGAAUUAAACAAGGUUAAUUUGAUUUGUUUUCAUCUUAGUUUUUGCUUUAUGACAACAUGUGUGUGCAUGCAGAUUGACCUCUCGGAUCUAUUGAGUGCUGAUAUGUGUUUGUAACGACCGACCCCUAAACUUUCCCAGUUAAUCUUGAUCGGAGCCCUUGACCUUAGUUAUCUGUCUUGCUUAACCGUGCCUGAGUGCUCAGUUUUCCGCCGGUCCCGACCCCUGGAUCCGACCCCUUCCCGCUUCGCUCCUCUUUCGACCCCGGCGAGCUCAGCCCGCCGUCGGAUCCUGCUGAUCUUCCUCACCCGUCCGAUCUAUCCACCGGUGGACCCGUGAGAUCUUUUCCAGAUCCUCCGCGACAGCCGCACUCGAGUUGCAUGGCCGCCUCAGAGUCUUCCUGCCGCGUGGCUCGUCUUCUCUGACGCCUGCCGCUCAGUUUUGUCUCUGGCAAGCAACAGAGUGGGUUCCCGCGCCCCCUUUCCCCAAUGGCAGCGGAAGCCCUCUGCACCCCUUUCUGCAGAGCCUCGCCUCCCGCGCCCAUCAUCACACCACCAGAUCCCGGCCCCAGAGCCCGAUGUCGCCCGUCUUUUCCGUCCCUUCAGCCACAGUUGCGCCGCCCGGUCGUCGCUACACGACGAUUCCUCCACCGCCAACCCCGACCGCGGCCGCGACAGUUCCUUUCCCCGCUCUGUCAGAAGCCGCCCGACAAUCUGUUGUUCCGCGCUCUCCCCCGCGCCCGCGUCCGCCUGUCUUCUCACCUGUGCGCCCUCGAUUCUAGCGCCGUUAAACCGGUCGCUUCCAUCACCUCUUCCGCACGACGACGCCCGCUUUCCGCCAAAUCCCAACCACCGGUCUACCCGCUCCUACGCCGCCCUGACGGCAGAGCGCAAUGAUCGCUGGCGUCACCCCCGGAGUUCUGCAGCACCGCCCUCUUUGCUCAAUCACCGCCACGGCAGGGCACUCCAUUGCUUCUCCCCGGCCUUCGCGCCGCUCCCCUUUUCUCUCUCCGCGCCGUUUCCUUUUUCCCUGCUCCAGCAGCUAUAAAAGGAAUGCCCCCGUCGCCGGAGUUUCCCUCCGCCCUUGUUGCCUUCAGCUUUCUCUAGCUCCCUGCUCAAGCUCCUAGCGCCACCCACCCAGUUCUUGAGAAGUUCUUCUCCCAGUUCCUUCUCAGUUUCCUCCAAGUCACCCAGCAGCUUGCUCCUCCGUGCUGCGUAAGAGCUCUCUUGUGAUCCGCAAGAAGCAGCGCCGCCGCCGGAGCAUUGCCGGUCGUAGCCCUUGCUCGAAGCUUUAGUCCCUCCGCCCAAGUUCGCUUCUUCCCGACCCCAAGCUUUCCUUUCAGGAAGAAGGUGAGUUGCCGACCCUAAGUCCGCCUCGCCCGACCCCUCCUAUCCGCCCGACCCCAGUUCCGUCUCGCCCGACCCUAUCUGUUCCGCCGACCCUUAUCCGCCUCGCCCGAGGGCUUGGCUGUGAUCUUUUUCUUCAACUCGAGGGUGUAUGUGUAAAACUUGGGAACCCUGCAACGCUUGCGUCUAAGGACCCCUAUCACAUCCUCUAGUUCAAGGAUCAGACCACUAGUUUCCCUUCCUACCCUUACCUGUUGAUCAUCAUCAGCUCUCUCGAACCUCCACAACCUCCUCCUCCUUGUCGCAAGUUUCUGGGCUCAGGAGAGCCAGUGUUGCUGUUGAAAUAACUGUCUAAGCUAACCCUUGCAUUGCAUUCGUGUAGAGCUGCACCUCGCCGACGGUUUCUACGAGCUUCACCCGGCGCCAGAAGAAGAAGCUGUAGCCGAGCUCCUGCCCUCCGAAGCCGAAGUCGCCCCCGAAGCCGAGCCGUUCCCGUCCUCCUUGCUUGAAGGCAAGCCCCGGUUGCAUGAAAUUCCUAUGUGUUUUACCAGACUUGCGCAUGCCUUCUGUAACAUGCUUGUGCAUUUACGUAUAGGAGUUGUGUGAAACCCUAGAUGCAUGACUUAGGUAACCCAUGAUGUGAGCACUAGCUGUUGGACCGAGUAGCUGCAUUGCUUAACUAGGAGACGGUAAAAGUCGAGUGAUCUCCUGUCACUCGCGAGUUGUAGGAGUUGCCUGAUUUACUCUCCUGUUACAACUAUAAGGACGAUGGAUGGGGCAGGGUUUUGGUAACUUUUUGGUGGUCGGAUGGACGCCCCGUCUGUCUAUGAAAUCUUGCUAAGGCCCGACAGUGGUGGUGUUCGUGAUCAAGUGUUUGAAAGUACUAGCCUCAUACUUAGUAUGGGAUGAGGAAGCCUAGUACCGGAUUGAACCUAGACGUGAGCGGUCGCCCCAUUGUUCUUGGAACGGAGUUUCCCCUGCUGGUUGUCGCACGUGGUGGCAAGCGUGGUCACAGGACGGCAGAGGCCGAGUCUGUGGAACCUUGCACCAAAGGAAAUGGGCCCGACACGGGUUAGGGGAUUGAUGGGGAAGGCCGACACAGGAAGCGACCUCCGGGUGCGCGGAUGUCGUGAGGCUAGGUUCACCAUGCAUGGUUAAAGAACUCGAAUCGAUUCGUCUGCCUCUCACAGCUUGAGAUUGCUUGAUCGCUAUGUCACCCUAAGUAAAUGAGGAAUCUGAUGAUGGCAAUGUUGUUGUUAUAUCUACACAUCUUGUUUGGCUCUAUGAUUGCUUAGAACAGGUUGCACAACCUAGACUGGUAAAUGAACCUAGAACCGGAGCUAAAACUUGAAUUAGGGUUACUUAGUGCUUUUGGAAAACAAACCCCUAACCCAAACAGCUUGCAUGCCUAGAAGGAGGAGUAGUCCUUACUCCUAUCGGUUAAGUCUUGUUGAGCUUAGUAGCUCAGCCUUGUGGUGGCUUCUGUUUUCAGGUGAAGCUGCUGCGUCCGACCCCUCUCUGGUUGGUGCUUGGCCGCCCCAGCUCCCGCCAGGCUGGACGGUCAAGUAGGACCCCUCCUCGGACGGCGAGGAGAGGACUCAGUGAUGUUCUGGCUGGCCUUGCCUGGACAUCCGACCCCGAUGAAGUCUUCCGCUAGUAUUUUUCUCUGUUGUUCUUGAAUUUUGUAAAACUCUGAUGUUGGAUUUUAUGGUUGAACUAAAAUGGGUAAAACUUGCUUAACUCAGUGGACUUGUUGUAUUCUCUGUAACCGCUCACCUUCGUGUGGGUUUGCUAGACUCGAUCCUGUUCAAGUGGUUAAAUCGGAUGAAAUCCGACGGCACUUCGUGUGAGCUCAGUUUAGGCAGGAGUGUCGCAUGUUAGGCGGCUUAACCCUGCUUAACCAAGCUAAUCCGAGGUGGUUCUGCCACAGCUGGUAUCAGAGCCGUGUUUAGCAUUUCAGAGAACCCAAUGAGCCCUAAACACUUCUUUGAAAGGAUAAAAGUUGCAAGAAACUUUUGAAAAUCUCGUACGAUCGUUAAGGAUGACUUAGUGCGAGAGGCCCUAGGGGAUUUUGGGGUUGUUUUAGGUGACUAGUAAGUAUUUGGUUAUUUUGCUAACUCCUCCAGCACUUCGCCACGUCUAUCAUACGUGUGCCGGGUUCCGCAUCGCGAGCAUGCGAGGGUUGAUAGGGAGCUCCAUUCAAGGGACCCUAUCUUCGCGGUUGUUUUCGCCCACGUCUAUUAUACGUGCGCAGGUUCCGUAUGUGUUCCAUACGAAGGUUGGUACGGUUCGAUUCCAACAAACCUAUCGGCACGGUUGUUUCGCCACGUUUGUCAUACGUGUGCCGAUUCCGCAUCACGAGUAUGCGAAGGGUUAUAUGGUUCUAUUCGACAGGAACCUAUUUCCACGGUUGAGUGCUGUCCAUGUAGCCUUAAACGCAUGGGUGCCGUUCCUAUAGUGAAGCGUCCCCACAUAAGUAGAGACUAAAUGUGAUCCAAUUUAUCAGUCCCAGGAGGCUGAUAACACAUUUAUUCAACAGAUAGUUCAGAAACCGUACAGCUCCCGAAGGAGCGGGCGGGCAAGCCACACCCAAAGCAAGACUAAAGCGAUAACAACACAAAUCCAAGUUGCAGUCCAGUCGGACUCCGGGCUGCAAUCGGAGCUAAGCGUCAGCGGAAGCAUCCUGCAAAGGGGCCAACACCGCAGACAGCGUUGGGUGCAGACGCAACCUCCUACUCGAAGUCCUCGACGACAAAGUCCGGAUCCUCCUCUGAAGUAACAACACAAGGGUGAGUACAAAAGUACUCAGCAAGUCCAACCCCAUCCACGGAGGGGGAUACAACAAGAAUAUGCAUAUGAAUAAUCAAGGAAUAAGCUAUGGUUUAUUUGCAGUAAAGCUGAAUUCUUAGACACAUGCGGGGUUCUAUUUCGAAGAGGUUUAAUGAAAACAUUUUAGUGAACAACAUAUCAAGUGGGGUUGAUCCUACACAAAGGAUCCAAGUUUUAUCGCUACCGGACUCCCCGUCCGCCGUAGCGCACGGCACACCUGCCGGACACUUCCAAAAUCCCACACACCCACACACGCGGUAAAAUACCAGUCAUCCCCAAAAGCUAGUUGUGUGACCGAGCCGUAACUCGUCCAAUGCCGUGGACACGGCUACCCGGAUAGGUUUUAACUCUGCAGAGGUUGUACACUUUUCCCACAAGUAGGGUACCGUAUCGCGAUCACCUUAGUGUCGGUACGGAUCCUAACAAAGCCAUUACCCACCUUAGCCAACACUGACUAGUCAACAUGGAAGCGCUCAAGGGGUUAGCAACCCAUCCACGGGGCUGAAACCGGGACCUAAGUCACCAAGAGCUUAGUUCUUUUCCAAGGCCUCCUGUUGCUCACCAGCACACCUGAAGUCUAGCAGUUUAGCUAGUGGGAUUUAUGCUAAGCCGUUGCCCAUACAACGGUCGAGUGGUUGUACGAUGAUGGAAUUAGGCAGGAUGACACAUCAACUCGGUCCUUAGUCAUGACAAGAUGGAUAUCUCCCACUCUGCUCAACCACUGAGGUACGAGCCCAACAACCCGGCGUUCCACACAAGAAACACCCAUCCAUCUCAUCCACCACCUCUCUUUACACCCGAAAACCCAACUCCUCAGUUAAACAUACUCACACAUUAUUUUCUGAGUAAACAGGUGUAGUCAUGUUUGAAUUUGGAUAAUGAGUUCCUAAGCAUUCUAGCAGUAUUUAUCAUCUAAACAGAGCAACUCAUAUUUAGAGAUAAAUAUGGGACAACAAGGAAUAGUCAUAACAAUCAAGGGGUGGCUAUCCAACCAUGUCUUGCGAUAAACAGUAUGCAUGUUAUAAAACAGGCCAAAAGGUUGUGUCUGAAAAACUGAGUAUUAAAUAUGCAUCAAAGGGUGAGAUUGGACUUGCCGUUCUCAAAGCCUUCCGGGAGCUCCUGCUCGCGGUACUGGUCCUCGGGCUCGGGCUCGUGGUCGAACUCCUCCUCGCGCUCCUCCUCGGGUACUCCGCGAUCUACGGCACACACAAACGAGCACACAAUAAAUAAAAAGGAAAAAGAUUUUACCCGUUGAGCUCCGAACAGGAAACAUGAACGGAAAAUAGGUAGACAGGGUAUUUUCAUGGAAUUUUGAUAUGCCUCGGUGGAAACAUAUGAGAGGGGGCCGUGGUCGAAUUUGGGAUUGAUUGGAGGAAAUUUGGCGCAUGAAAUGACGGUUUAAAGGAGUAUUAGGGGCUUUAAAAUGAGGUUUAGGACUGAACCGCGAGAGCAGGGGCCUAUCUGUAAUUAUUUUUGGAAUGGUGGGAGGACCUGUUCGCGAAUCAGGGAAACUAGUGGGUUGGAUCGUGAGGAGAGGGAUUUACCCCUUCUUCUUCCUGGAGACAACAGGAGGUUGAGAGAAGGAUGGCCGUCGGCGCUCUGGUGGUGGUGGUGGAGGAAGGCAAGGUGCUCGUGGUGAGGGUGUGGAGGUGAAGACUCGGCUCCCCCCCUUUUAUAGGCGGCGCCCGGGCGGGCGAGGGCCAAGGUAAUGAUGGCGGCCGGACUUUUGACCGGUGGCGUGCCGGAGUGGUGGAGCUCGUGGAUGGCGUGGCGGCGUGGUCGACGAGGCCACAGGGGCGGCGACCGGUGACCGGCGACACGACGCGACGCACCGAGCCAAGCGCUAGACGCCAAGGCGCGAGCGGGCGUGGCACGAGCGACGUGACGCGGCGCGGGCGCGGCGCGCGGCCCGGCGCGCGUGCGCGGCCCAGCGCCUCGGCGCACGUGCCGCGUGGGCGCCUGGCGCAGUGGGCAGGUGGGGGGGGUUGCCAGGGAAGUAAAAGAGGAGAGAGAGAAAGGGAAAAGGGAGAGGAGGAAGAAAGAGAAGGAAAACGAGAAGGGAAAGAAAGGGGAGAAAAAAGAAAGAAGGAAGAGAAAGAGAGGGAAGGGAGGGGAAAAAGAUGGCGGAAAUUGCGGGAUUCGACUGCGCGCGGUGAUGGACUUGUCGAGCACGCGGCGAAAUUUACGGGGAGUGGAAAAUGGAGGAUUGACGGGCCGGGGCCAGGACGGCGGGUCCGACGGAAGGGAAAGGAUUUGACGGAGCUCGGCGGUAGGAAAAUUUUUGGAAAGUGUUUUUUAACGGGUGAUUUAACUGAGUGUAUUUUACGAGCGUUACAUAUAGUGAGCGGUAAUGUUUGGGAACGCUUUCGUGGGUGCUGGCACGAAAGGUUCGUGUGUGUGUUUUCUACAGGUUGCUAACCGCGUUCGUUAGGAGACGUUACUAGAACCGACUAGUUAAUAUAGGGAGAGACGUAUUGUUGCCUUGUCACCGGCGCUGACCGCGUAAGACCCGAGGUUCGGGCAGUUGUUUUUGGUUAAGAGUACGGUAGGUCGUGCAUGCGUCAUAUCCAAAAAGGUUGUACGGUUUCCUUUCUCAACAGCAACCCUGUUCAGAAGAGUUCUUUUGGAUCUAAGGAUUUCUAGUUUCUCUUGGUUGCUCUCGGUUAAGCCCUUCUGCUUCUUAUCCGACCCCUGAUCCUUGGAGUUAUCUCACGUGGUUUUCGGUUUUCUUGGUUCCAGAUGGCUGUUCCCGGACAUGUUGUUUUUGGAGCGGACGGUACCUUCCAGUCAACGUGCCUGCAUUUCGAGGGGUUUCCCGCGAUUCUGUGGGAUACGCUAAAGUGGUUUGGGUAUCAGUCCCCGCCCCUGUAUGCCGGUCGGUUGUAUAUGGAACAGGGCAUUCAGAUGUGCCAAGUGCAAGCGUUGGUACCACCUCCCCUUGCACGGCCCGACUGGCCCUCCCUUGGCAUAAUAGCCUAUGGUCUCGCUCCGGAAGAUACAUGGGAAUCCGCCGUCCUUCAGUUGCUCACCCAGUUCUGUCAGUUGCAUCCUGUGGAGAUCACGCUAGACCCGAUCGGCCUCUUCCCCGUCAGGAGUCGGCUGGACCCGGCCUGGCUUGACCGCGUCGGGAACAUCGAGGUGUUGGCCACCACCUGCGCCAUGGUCACCAUCUCCACCAACGUCCGGUGCAUGGCCGCUCUCUACCGGUUGAUAGAGCUUCAAGGAAGAGCCAUGACUCUCUUCGCCCGGACGGCUGCAGAUACCCACGGUUGCCUCCAGGCAGCAAGAAGAGACCUGGUAGGCCAAACCUACCAGCUGAUCCAGCGUGGUGUCCAGAUCCACGAUAUGCAAGAUCGGAUCUCCGAGCUAGAAGGAGAAGUUGCCGACCUCGUGGACGGCAUGAUAGAGCUCUCGGAGGAAAAGAUGGAGGUGGAAAUGGAGUUGGCAGUCGCCAAUGCCCACCUGGAGGAGCACCAAGCUGAGCUCGAGGAUAUGCAUGCCCUCAACAUGCAGCUCGAAGCUCAGGAGGACCCUGAGGAAGACGAGGGAGCGUCCAGCAUGGAUAUAGAGGAAGAUGGCGCCCCUUCUCCGACUCAUAGUGUCCAGUGGUAGCUUAGGGGUUCUCAGGGAACCUUCUUUCUUUUUGUUGUACUCCUCGGCAGCCUAGAUUUUGGAAAAGUUGUAAUAGGUUAGCCUCGAGUUGAGUACUCCCUGUGUUGACACGCCGUUGUGUAUAAAGUUAACCCUGGUGCAUAGCUUUCUCAUCUCUGUAUGGUGUGGAUGCUAGGUUGAGUAAGUUGCGCCGUGACCUUAUGAUGUGUUCGGAGAACCUGUUCUUGGGCCGACCCCGGCUUGUGAAACCGAGUGCGCCGACCUUUGAGGCAGUUUCUGUCUUGUCCGACCCUUUUCGAGUACGGACCGUGUCCGACCCCUUGGUUUGAGAGGAUCAGAUCCUAGGAGUCUGUAGGUGGCAUGUGUGCCUGAGGUGGAGUACCAGGACAAGUAGAGGUUAUCUAUGCUGAGAAUGGGAGGAAUGUGCUUCCUCUAUGAGGACGUGUGAUGCACCAUUGGCAAGAGUCGCAUUAAGGGAUUUAAUUCAUAUGUUCCAUUUGUUGGAGUACACCUAAGGUUAUGAAAUUAAUGGGGCGUUAACUCUUGCAGAUGGCGCACCGCACUAGGUCUGGAUCUGUGCCCAGUGGUAGUGAUCAGCAACAGGAUCUUCCCCCGCCCCCGCCCCCAUCGCCAUUGGAGGCAAUCUUAGCAACUCAAACUGAGCUGCUAAGGCAUCUGGUGCAAGGACAACACCAUCAGCCACAUGGUGGAAGAGCACAGCCGCAGCCGCAUAUCGCACGAUAUGAGGACUUUCUGGGGACACAGCCCCCGCUGUUCCAGAAGACACAAGAACCGCUCGAUGCUGACGCAUGGGUUCGUACGAUCGAAUCCAAGUUCGAGCUCCUCACCGCUCCAUGCCCCGAUAACAACAAGGCGCGGUUCGCAGCUCAGCAGCUGCGUGGCUCCGCACGGCUUUGGUGGGACCACUACCAUGCCAUGCUACCUGCUGGCCACGUGGUCAGUUGGAACGAGUUCAAGACGGCGUUUAAGGCGCAUCACAUUCCCUUAGUUCUCCUGGAGCGCAAGCUCAACGAGUUUCUGGCCCUCACCCAAGGAACUCGGGAUGUGCUGCAUUACGCCCAAGCUUUCAAUGACCUAUGCCGUUAUGCUGGCUAUCAUGCGGACACCGACGAGAAGAAGCGGGACAGGUUCCACCGAGGACUGAGCUUGGAGCUCAGGGAAAGGCUGAACCCCAUCAGGGUGGACACCUAUAACGAGUUGGUCAACCUGGCCAUCUCUCAGGAGGACUGCAUGCAGGCUCUCAAGGCCGACCAGAAGAGGAAAGCCUCUGUGGCAUUUCCGAGUCCACCGACUCGAAGGUUCCGGAUGAUCCCUCCACAAGCCCCUGGCCGACCCCAGCAGUCAGGGAAAUGGAUCGCCCGACCCCCGCCGGCAACAACGCCUCGUUUUCCAGGCUUCCAGCCGCAAGUGCCCCGGCCGACCCUGCCAACGCCACCUCGCCCGGCAGCCAGUAAUCGAUGUUUUACCUGCGGCAAUGAAGGACAUUUUGCAAAGGACUGCCCCAGGAACAAGAAUCAGCAGCAAGGCCAGAACCCCAUGGCAGCCAGAGGAAGAAGGCCCAAGGUGCAAGUCCGACAAGGCCAACUCAACUACACCAGCUUAACCGAUCUCCCUAAAGGUGCGCCAGUAAUGACGGGUACUUUCCUUGUUUUAAAUCAAGCUGUUGUUGUGUUGUUUGAUUCGGGAGCCUCUCAUAGCUUUAUCGGGAGUAAGGCAAGGGAAAGAUGUGGGCUAAGUGUCGGUCACACUAAGGAACCCUAUGUGAUCGCCACUCCUGGAGGAAGGAUAACGUCGGAUCAGGUCGUUAUUCUUGUACCUCUCCAGCUAGGUCCCACCCUCUUCAAGUAAAACCUUAUCAUCCUUGACCUAGAAGGCCUAGAUGUCAUCCUUGGCAUGGAUUGGAUGGCCCGACAUCAUGUUGUUCUAGAUACAUCAGCCCGAUCUCUUUACAUCAGCUUACCCUUCCAUGGCAGUUCUACCCUAUCCUUGACCCAUCCUGCGUCUCCGACUCCUUGUGCCUACCCUCUCUUGGGAGCCCGUCUAGAAAACCUCCCUGUUAUCUGUGAGUACCCUGAUGUGUUUCCAGAAGAUUUGCCGGGUAUGCCACCUGAUAGAGAAGUUGAGUUUUCCAUAGAGUUGGUUCCUGGCACAGCCCCGAUAUCUAAGAGACCCUAUCGGAUGCCACCCGCUGAGUUAGCCGUGUUGAAGACCCAGUUGCAUGAUCUGUUGGAAAAGGGCUUCAUUCGACCCAGUACAUCAUCUUGGGGUUGCCCCGCCCUGUUUGUGAAGAAGAAAGAUGGCAGUCUACGUAUGUGUGUGGAUUACCAACCCCUCAAUGCGGUAACAGUCAAGAACAAGUACCCACUGCCACGCAUUGAUGUCUUGUUUGAUCAGUUAACCGGAGCAAAAGUGUUCUCCAAGAUCGAUCUUCGUUCUGGUUAUCACCAAAUAAAGAUUCGACCUUGCGACAUACCCAAGACAGCUUUCUCUACCAGAUAUGGACUGUACGAGUACCUAGUCAUGUCCUUUGGACUCACCAAUGCACCCGCUUAUUUCAUGUACCUUAUGAACUCGGUGUUUAUGCCCGAGCUGGACAAGUUUGUAGUGGUGUUCAUUGAUGAUAUCCUAGUGUACUCGAAGAACGAGGAAGAGCAUGCCAACCAUCUUCAUAUAGUUCUCCAACGGCUGAGAGAUCACCAGCUUUAUGCAAAGUUCUCCAAGUGUGAGUUUUGGUUAGAUAGUGUCAAGUUUUUGGGACACACUAUCUCCAAGGACGGUAUCGCCGUGGACCCCAGUAAGGUGCAAGAAGUCAUGGAAUGGAAGUCUCCUGCCUCAGUCCACCAAAUCAGGAGUUUCCUUGGACUGGCAGGUUACUAUCGGCGUUUCAUACCGGAUUUCUCCAAGAUAGCUAAGCCGAUGACUGAGUUGCUGAAGAAAGAGGUCAAAUUUGUGUGGGAUACCAAGUGUGAAGAGGCCUUCAAGACCCUGAAGCACUUGCUGACCACCGCCCCAGUUUUGGCUCAACCCGACCCCUCUAGGCCGUAUGACGUAUACUGUGACGCCUCUGGUACUGGACUCGGAUGUGUUCUUAUGCAAGACAGCCGAGUCAUUGCCUAUGCCUCACGUGCGUUACGACCUCAUGAGCUAAACUACCCGACCCAUGACCUCGAGUUGGCAGCAGUGAUACAUGCCUUGAAGAUAUGGAGGCACUACCUAAUGGGAGCUCACUGCAACAUCUACACCGACCACAAGAGCCUCAAGUACAUCUUCACUCAAGCCGACCUCAACAUGCGUCAGAGAAGAUGGCUGGAGUUGAUAAAGGAUUAUGAGUUGGAAGUGCACUAUCAUCCUGGCAAGGCCAAUGUGGUAGCCGAUGCCCUCAGUCGUAAACCCCAUUGCAACUGCUUGUUGUCAACAGCCUUCACCAACACUCUGUGUCACGAGAUGGGAAAACUAAGUCUGGAGAUUGUUCCCCAUGGAACCCUUGAUCACAUCAUCCUUAACUCAGUUUUGGUGGACCAAAUUCGGUCAGCACAAGCUAAGGAUGAAGAAAUAAAACGGAUCCUCAGUAAGAUCUUAGUAAAGGAUGAAGGAUAUAAGCAUUUCCGUCAGGACCAAACGGGAGGUGUGUAUUAUGGAAACCGACUAGUAGUGCCCGCCGACCCUGAGUUGAGGAAGCAAAUCCUAGAUGAAGCUCAUCUUUCCAAGUUCUCAAUCCAUCCUGGCAGCAAUAAGAUGUACCAUGAUCUCCGUCAAACCUUUUGGUGGAGUGGAAUGAAACCAGAGAUAGCUCGUUAUGUUUCAGAAUGUGACACCUGUCAAUGUGUCAAGGCCAGUCACUUGAAGGUAGCAGGAACCUUGCAGCCGCUACCUAUUCCCUCUUGGAAAUGGGAAGACAUCAGCAUGGACUUCAUAGUUGGAUUACCCCUUACAACUCAACGGUAUGAUUCCAUCUGGGUUAUAGUGGACCGUUUGACCAAGACCGCCCACUUCCUUCCUGUUCGUACCACCUACAUAGUCAAGCAAUAUGCAGAGUUGUACCUCGACCGUAUCGUUUCCCUACAUGGUGUACCCAAGACCAUCAUCUCUGAUCGAGGAGUUCAGUUUGUGGCCCAUUUUUGGGAGCAAUUACAAGCAUCUAUGGGCACCAAGCUCAUCCGAAGCUCAACAUAUCAUCCUCAAACCGAUGGCCAAACCGAGAGAGUCAACCAGAUCCUUGAAGACAUGCUAAGAGCCUGUGUUAUCCACUAUGAUAAAAACUGGGACAAGUGCCUGCCCUUAGCAGAAUUCUCCUACAAUAACAGCUAUCAGACCAGUUUGAAGAUGGCACCGUUUGAGGCCCUAUAUGGCCGGAGAUGCAGGACACCCUUGAACUGGUCCCAACCAGGAGAAAGACAGGUUUAUGGCCCUGACUUAGUGGCAGAAGCCGAAGAGCAAGUGAAGGUAAUUCAAGCGAAUCUCAAGGCCACCCAAUCCCGACAGAAGAGUUACUCCGACCAGAGGAGAAGACCCCUGCAGUUCGACCUGGGUGAUCAUGUGUACCUUCGAGUCUCCCCGACCAAAGGAGUGCAACGGUUUGGAAUAAAAGGCAAGUUAGCUCCCCGCUAUGUUGGCCCUUAUGAGAUUGUGGAGAGAUGUGGACCCGUUGCUUACCGGAUCCAACUCCCAGAACAGCUAUCAGCCAUACAUGAUGUUUUCCAUGUGUCUCAACUGAAGAAAUGUGUCCGAGUUCCAGCAGAGAUCUUAGAACAAGAACAGCUUCAGGUAGAGCCUGACCUGACCUACGCCGAGUACCCAGAUCGAGUUCUUGACCAAAAGGAAAGGCACACCCGACGCCGAGCGGUAAAGAUGUACAAGAUCCUCUGGAGAAACCACACCGAAGACGAAGCAACAUGGGAAACGGACGAAUAUCUGAACAAGCGUUUCCCAGGUUUUCUGUCCCAUCAAGUAGGUAAGAACAUCACACCCUUUGAUCUUUGAAUCUCGGGACGAGAUUCUUUUUAAGAGGGGUAGGCUGUAACGACCGACCCCUAAACUUUCCCAGUUAAUUUUGAUCGGAGCCCUUGACCUUAGUUAUCUGUCUUGCUUAACCGUGCCUGAGUGCUUAGUUUUCCACCAGUCCCGACCCCUGGAUCCGACCCCUUCCCGCUUCGCUCCUCUUCCGACCCCGGCGAGCUCAGCCCACCGUCGGAUCCUGCUGAUCUUCCUCACCCGUCCGAUCUAUCCACCGGUGGACCCGUGAGAUCUUUUCCAGAUCCUCCGCGACAGCCGCACUCGAGUUGCAUGGCCGCCUCAGAGUCUUCCUGCCACGUGGCUCGUCUUCUCCGACGCCUGCCGCUCAGUUUUGUCUCUGGCAAGCAACAGAGUGGGUUCCCGCGCCCCCUUUCCCCAAUGGCAGCGGAAGCCCUCUGCACCCCUUUCUGCAGAGCCUCGCCUCCCGCGCCCAUCAUCACGCCACCAGAUCCCGGCCCCAGAGCCUGAUGUUGCCCGUCUUUUCCGUCCCUUCAGCCACAGUUGCGCCGCCCGGUCGUCGCUACACGACGAUUCCUCCACCGCCAACCCCGACAGUUCCUUUCCCCGCUCUGUCAGAAGCCGCCCAACAAUCUGUUGUUCCGCGCUCUCCCCCACGCCCGCAUCCGCCUGUCUUCUCACCUGUGCGCCCUCGAUUCUAGCGCCGUUAAACCGGUCGCUUCCAUCACCUCUUCCGCACGACGACGCCCGCUUUCCGCCAAAUCCCAACCACCGGUCUACCCGCUCCUACGCCGCCCUGACGGCAGAGCGCAAUGAUCGCUGGCGUCACCCCCGGAGUUCUGCAGCACCGCCCUCUUUGCUCAAUCACCGCCACGGCAGGGCACUCCAUUGCUUCUCCCCGGCCUUCGCGCCGCUCCCCUUUUCUCUCUCCGCGCCGUUUCCUUUUUCCCUGCUCCAGCAGCUAUAAAAGGAAUGCCCCCGUCGCCGGAGUUUCCCUCCGCCCUUGUUGCCUUCAGCUUUCUCUAGCUCCCUGCUCAAGCUCCUAGCGCCACCCACCCAGUUCUUGAGAAGUUCUUCUCCCAGUUCCUUCUCAGUUUCCUCCAAGUCACCCAGCAGCUUGCUCCUCCGUGCUGCGUAAGAGCUCUCUUGUGAUCCGCAAGAAGCAGCGCCGCCGCCGGAGCAUUGCCGGUCGUAGCCCUUGCUCGAAGCUUUAGUCCCUCCGCCCAAGUUCGCUUCUUCCCGACCCCAAGCUUUCCUUUCAGGAAGAAGGUGAGUUGCCGACCCUAAGUCCGCCUCGCCCGACCCCUCCUAUUCGCCCGACCCCAGUUCCGUCUCGCCCGACCCUGUCUGUUCCGCCGACCCUUAUCCGCCUCGCCCGAGGGCUUGGCUGUGAUCUUUUUCUUCAACUCGAGGGUGUAUGUGUAAAACUUGGGAACCCUGCAACGCUUGCGUCUAAGGACCCCUAGUUUAUCACAUCCUCUAGUUCAAGGAUCAGACCACUAGUUUCCCUUUCUACCCCUUACCUGUUGAUCAUCAUCAGCUCUCUCGAACCUCCACAACCUCCUCCUCCUUGUCGCAAGUUUCUGGGCUCAGGAGAGCCAGUGUUGCUGUUGAAAUAACUGUCUAAGCUAACCCUUGCAUUGCAUUCGUGUAGAGCUGCACCUCGCCGACGGUUUCUACGAGCUUCACCCGGCACCAGAAGAAGAAGCUGUAGCCGAGCUCCUGCCCUCCGAAGCCGAAGUCGCCCCCGAAGCCGAGCCGUUCCCGUCCUCCUUGCUUGAAGGCAAGCCCCGGUUGCAUGAAAUUCCUAUGUGUUUUACCAGACUUGCGCAUGCCUUCUGUAACAUGCUUGUGCAUUUACGUAUAGGAGUUGUGUGAAACCCUAGAUGCAUGACUUAGGUAACCCAUGAUGUGAGCACUAGCUGUUGGACCGAGUAGCUGCAUUGCUUAACUAGGAGACGGUAAAAGUCGAGUGAUCUCCUGUCACUCGCGAGUUGUAGGAGUUGCCUGAUUUACUCUCCUGUUACAACUAUAAGGACGAUGGACGGGGCAGGGUUUUGGUAACUUUUUGGUGGUCGGAUGGACGCCCCGUCUGUCUAUGAAAUCUUGCUAAGGCCCGACAGUGGUGGUGUUCGUGAUCAAGUGUUUGAAAGUACUAGCCUCAUACUUAGUAUGGGAUGAGGAAGCCUAGUACCGGAUUGAACCUAGACGUGAGCGGUCGCCCCAUUGUUCUUGGAAUGGAGUUUCCCCUACUGGUUGUCGCACGUGGUGGCAAGCGUGGUCACAGGACGGCAGAGGCCGAGUCUGUGGAACCUUGCACCAAAGGAAAUGGGCCCGACACGGGUUAGGGGAUUGAUGGGGAAGGCCGACACAGGAAGCGACCUCCGGGUGCGCGGAUGUCGUGAGGCUAGGUUCACCAUGCAUGGUUAAAGAACUCGAAUCGAUUCGUCUGCCUCUCACAGCUUGAGAUUGCUUGAUCGCUAUGUCACCCUGAGUAAAUGAGGAAUCUGAUGAUGGCAAUGUUGUUGUUAUAUCUACACAUCUUGUUUGGCUCUAUGAUUGCUUAGAACAGGUUGCACAACCUAGACUGGUAAAUGAACCUAGAACCGGAGCUAAAACUUGAAUUAGGGUUACUUAGUGCUUUUGGCAAACAAACCCCUCAGCCAAACAGCUUGCAUGCCUAGAAGGAGGAGUAGUCCUUACUCCUAUCGGUUAAGUCUUGUUGAGCUUAGUAGCUCAGCCUUGUGGUGGCUUCUGUUUUCAGGUGAAGCUGCUGCGUCCGACCCCUCUCUGGUUGGUGCUUGGCCGCCCCAGCUCCCGCCAGGCUGGACGGUCGAGUGGGACCCCUCCUCGGACGGCAAGGAGAGGACUCAGUGAUGUUCUGGCUGGCCUUGCCCGGACAUCCGACCCCGACGAAGUCUUCCGCUAGUAUUUUUCUCUGUUGUUCUUGAAUUUUGUAAAACUCUGAUGUUGGAUUUUAUGGUUGAACUAAAAUGGGUAAAACUUGCUUAACUCAGUGGACUUGUUGUAUUCUCUGUAACCGCUCACCUUCGUGUGGGUUUGCUAGACUCGAUCCUGUUCAAGUGGUUAAAUCGGAUGAAAUCCGACGGCACUUCGUGUGAGCUCGGUUUAGGCAGGAGUGUCGCAUGUUAGGCGGCUUAACCCUGCUUAACCAAGCUAAUCCGAGGUGGUUCCGCCACAGUGUUGCUUGAUGGUGUUGUGUCAAGGUGGGUUUGGGAUGUGUGCUUGGAGCGAAGGUCUUUGCCCUUCGCCGGACAACGAUGAUGGUGACGCCUGUUGGUGCCACAUCCCUCUCUAUUGACAACUAUGGAUUGUAGGUUGCUGGGUAAUUUUGAGACGUAUGUUGAGUUUAAGAUCUUAUGUCGUUGUUUAUCACUUACUGGAUCUCUUUCUUCUUUCUUUCUUUAAUUCUUUUAUAUUUCCUUUUUUGACAAGGUUGUGUGUUGUUGCAUAUGCGGCUGGAAUCUAAGCUUUCUUCAUCCAAAAGAAGAUUAUAUAAAACAACCAGAAAGAAAUAAAGGGGGGCGGUUAAUCUCCUUCCCAAGGGGAUUGGAGGGGAUUUUGACUGGUAGGGGAUGUUUUGCAGGAGGAUGUGCACCUCAACAUAAGUAACAUAGAAUCUGUGGGUACACUUUUGACAACAUACCUUAAAACCACAUUGUAUGCAACAAUAACCUUGUGCAAACCAUAUAUAGCUAUGCCCACCAUUUUAUAGAACAAUGUUCAAUAGACUACCAUAUGCAUAUGGGCGUGCACGAUGGAUAUUAGACACAGAACAUAGUAGUAGUAGUAUAACUUGCACAAAACUACAUGCAUGAUCUUUUAUAUUUGAGCCAGCAAGUUCUUUCAAAAGAUAACCCACAAGAAAGCACGCACUGGUCUUCUUGUGCACUAUACGUUGGGUGUUGCAAUUGCUUAUAAUAAUCUCUUUUAUUUGUUCAGUUUGAACAACCGUGGCUAGGCACUUCCUAAAGUCUUCACUUCAAGUACUUGUCAAACCAGUCGAUCAUUAGGUCAAGAGCUUGCUCAGCAGUUUUGACAGCAAAAGGGUCGGUGGUAUUAUAUCUACAAGCAAAUCCAUGUGUAGUUCCUGGAAAGAUCUUGGCGUAGUAGGGAAUCUGCAAACAACCAUGCCACAAAAAUGAGCUUUUCUAACUGAUAUAUAGUAUCCUCUAUGACGGAAUCACUAGGAAUGCAGCUCUUCUUCUUCUUAAUAUAAAGAUACGCAGCUCUCCUGCGUAUUCUUGAAAAAAGGAAUCACUAGGAACUCACCUCUGUUCUAUGACGCAGUACACUCACAUACUUGUACACUAGUUCCGGCGGUGCCUCUGAGUCAUUUUGAGCUCCAAGGAUCUCGAUUGGACAUUUAACCUCUGUUUUGAAUAAUGAUCAUAUAGUUAGCAUAUAUAUGAAAUUAAGCAUUUAAAAGUUCAGUUCCAAAGACAUCUCAAUCGAUCGAUGCUGUCUGGGAGCUAGGUUGCAAACACAAAGAAAAGGAGCUAGCAAACCUUUCAUGUCAUCAGUAGUCACAAUGUAAGGAUGAGGUAUGGAAACUACUUUAACAUCACUGGUCUUCCCCAUCUCCACACUGAACUUUCCUGUCAGAUACUCGGCAAUAGAAGAUAAGAAUUGUAUGUUCUAUGUGUUGCCUGAAGAAGGAUUUUGGAAGCUGGAAUUUCACUCACCACCCCAGGAAUAACCUCCCGCCCCGAUGGACUUUCCUUCCUUUUCUAAAGCAGCAAAGAGUGGCUUGGCGUCUUUGGCAGCUUUCACCUGCCAGAUCGAUCGGAUACUCAUCAAAUCAAUAUAGUUUUCAACUAGGCUUUGGCUUGGCUAUCGAUCAUGGCCAACCCAAUUGGCCAUGAUUGGGUCACGACCAUGGCAGUAAGAUAUAUUAUUGACCACCUAAACCAAUUAUUUUCUCGACCACCUAACCCAAUUGUUGUCUCUUGCACUGUAUCUUUACAAAGCACUUUCUCGGGUCGUUCCCAUCGGCCAUCUACGACUGUGACGCCCUGAGAAUUGAAGCGCCCUUCCUCUCUAACACCACCACAACUGCUGGCCGAAUCGAUGGCGAGCGCCGCCACGAGCGUGAUGGGGUCCGUCAUCGGCAAGCUGACUGCCAUGCUCGGCGACAAGUACCAGCUGGCCAGAGACGUGGACCAAGGGAUCCAAUUCCUCAAGGAUGAGCUGAACACCAUUGAUGUCGUGCUGCAGAAGCUCGCAGACAAGGAAGACGACCAAAUGGAUCCAAUGGCUAAAGAUUGGAGGAACAAGGUGCGUGAGCUAUCCUUCGAUAUUGAGGAUUGCAUCGACCGCUUCAUGCUCAAUCACAGCCAUGGAGGUUCCAAUGCUAACUUCAUCGACCGCUUCAUGCGUAAGGUGGAGAUGUUGUGGAAGGACCAGGGCACAGCAGGGGAGAUCCAAAAACUCGAGAUACUCGUGAGAGAGCAGAGUGAGCGGGCAAAACGCUACCGCGUCGAUCCUCUCGCCGCCUCACCUCAGCCGGUGCGCUUGGAUCCUCGAGCAACUGCCCUCUUUCAGGAGGCGAGGGAUCCUGUGGGAAUUGAUGGUCCUCGCGAGGAAAUCAUCCAGCUAUUACAAGUUGAAGAAAAUCAGCACAAGGUGGUGUCCAUCUAUGGUACCGCUGGGCAGGGGAAGACUACUCUAGCCAUGGAGGUAUACCGAAAAAUCACAGGAGCAUUUGAUUGCAGGGCUUUCGUGUCUGUCUCUCAGACUCUGGAUAUGAAGAAUCUACUCAGAGAGAACUUUUUUUUAUUUUUAACCCUUUUUUUUCUUUAUUUUUAAAAAUAACCUCACCCGGGUUUAAUUUGCGCGGCGUGACCCUUUUGACCGCGCCAGACCGCCUGGUGCGGCAGGAACACGCUGCCGCGCCGCAUGCACUGGCGCGGCGGCCCCUGCCACGCUGGCGCGGCGAGUCGCGGCGCCAGGUGGGCGCUGACGUGGGCGGGGCGUUCGCCGCGCCAGCCCGCCUGGCGCGGCAGAGCCAGCACUAGAUCGACGCGCCGGCUCCCUUCCUCCUCCCUCCCUCCUUUCUUCCUCCUCCAGACACACCCGAGCCCAAGCUUGCAGCGCCGCCCCCCGCCGCCCCACCCCCAAAUCCACCCAAAAUCCGGCGUUUUUGGUGGGGGAAAGUAGUGGAAAUCGAUCCUUGCUUCGUGUGGAAGGUAUUCCCCUACUUAUUCUCGUGUUUUACCAUUGCAUUUGGUAGAUCGGAGGAUGUUUAGGUGACUUAGGGUUAGGUUAGUGAAGCGUCCCCACAUAAGUAGAGACUAAAUGUGAUACAAAUAUCAGUCCCAGGAGGCUGAUAGCACAUUUAUUCGACAGAUAAUUCAGUUACCGUACAACUCCUGAGGGAGUGGGCGUGAGAGCCACGCAGCGAUAAACAGUAAAUAAAUAACGGCGGCUAACCAAGCGACUGCCAAAAGACAGCACUCGGGACUACACGGCAGCAGCAGCAUCUUGGAAAGGCCAACACCACAGGCAGCGUCGGGUGCGGACACAACCUCUACUCAAGGUCCUCAACGACGAAGUCCGGGUCUUCCUCUGUAGCAACAAAGCAAGGGUGAGUACAAACGUACUCAACAAGUCCAACCCCAUCCACGGAGGGGGAUACAAGUAUAUGCACAGGUCACAACAAGGAUAGGCUAGAGUUUAUUUGCGGUAAAGCCAAAUUUUAACACAUGCAGGGGAUCGUUUUCGAAAGGGUUUUUGUAAAGUUUUCCUUUAGUACCCGAAAUAUUGGGGUGGGGUUGAUCCUACACAAGGGAUCCAAGUUUUUAUCGCUAUCGGACUCCUCGUCCGCCAUAGCACACAGCACAACUGCCGGACUCUUCCAAAAUCCAACACACACACACACAUGACAUUCUUGCCCAAUUGCUAGUUAUGUGACCAAGCCGUAACUCGUCCAAUGCCGUGGACACGGCUACCCGGAUAGGUUUUAACUCUGCAGAGAGUGUACACUUUUCCCACAAGUAGGGUACCGUAUCGCGAUCACCUUAGUGACGGUACGGAUCCUAACAAAGCCAUUACCCACCUUAGCUAAGACUGGCUAGCCCUCACGGAAACACCCAAGGGGUUCACGGCUCGUCCACGAGACCGUAACUGGGACCUAAGUCACCAAGAUCUUACUCCUUUUCCAUGGGCUCCCGUUGCUCACCAGCACCCCUGAGGACUAACAAUUCAGCUAGUGGGGUUUAUGCUAGGCCGUUGCCCAUACAACGGUCGAGUGGUUGCACGAUGGCGGAAUUAGGCAAGAUGACACAUCAACUCGGUCCUUAAUUACGACAAGAUGGAUAUCUCCCGACAUUGCUCAACCACCAAGGUACGAGCACAACAAACUAGCAUCCCACACAAGGAAUACCCAUCCAUCCUGUCUACACAUCCUUUUCCCUUGAACCCGAAAAGCCAUUUUUCUCACUUGCACACACACACGUUUAUUUUCCGAAAACACCAUGGUAAUAAUGAUUGCAGUUGAGUAAUAAAUUCCUAAGCGUUCUAGCAGUGGUUAUCAUCUAAACAGAGCAAGUCGUAUUUAGAGAUAAGCAUAGGAUAGCAAGGAAUGUUCAUAACAAUCAAGGGGUGGCUAUCCAACCAUGUCUUGCGAUGAAAUAAUAUGCAUUUUGUAAAACCGGCCAAUAGGUUGUGUUUGAAAAACUAGGUAUUAAGUAUGCAUCAAAGGGUGAGAUUGGACUUGCCGUCUUCAAAGCCUUCCGGGAGUUCCGGCUCGCGGUACUGGUCCUCGGGCUCGGGCUCGCGGUCAAACUCCUCCUCGGGCUCCUCCUCGGGUAAUUCGCGAUCUACGGCACACACAAACAGACACACAAAUAAAUAAAAGAGGAAACGGUUUUUAACCGUGAGCUCCGAACAGGAAACGUGAACGGAAAAUAGGUAGAAGGAUUAUUUUUGGGAAAUUUGGAUAUAGAUCGGCGGAAGUAUUCCUGAAGAUGACGUGGUGAAAUUUGGGUUUAAUUGGAGGAAGUUUGGCGCAUGAAAUGACGGGUUAAACAUGAAUUAGGGGCUUAAACGGAGGUUUAGGACUGAUUUAUAAUAAACCAGGGACCUAUUUGUAAAUACUUUUGGAGGUGGAGGGGCUUAUCUGUGAAAAGGCUAUGAGAGAGAUGGGGGAUCUAUGUGUAAUUUGGGGAAAGUUGGGGGUCAGAUCCAAAAUCUGGGUAUUCUUAUCCUCUUCUCCAGGAACUUGGAGAGAGGGAGAGUGGGGAGAGGAUAGGCCGGCGGCCGGCCGGCCGGGCUUCGCCGGCGGCGAGCCGUGGGCGGAGGGGCGGUGGAGGGAGUUGAGGGGGCCCCAUUUUGCCUCACCUCGGGCAGGUGGCGUUGGAGGAGUGGCGGGGCACCGGCGCCCGUGGGGCGGCGGCGGCGGCAGGGAUGCGGCAGCGGCGGAUUGGCGACGGGCGGCACAGGGGUGGAGGUGGCGAGCUGGGAGGGGAAUGGUUUGGCAAGGGAGGCCGGUCGUGCCCCUAUUUAUAGGCCGACGGGGUGGUGACCGGAGGUAGGGGCCGGUUACUGGCCGGCGGCGGAAGCUCGGCGGCCACGGCACCGGUGGCAUGCCGGGCAGGAGGUAGGGCCGGCGAGGCGGCGUGGUGCGGGGCCGAGACGGCCGGCACGGGAGGGCGGCGUGCGGGACCGGGGAGGCCGGCGCCGGAGUGGAUGGCGCAGGCGGCCGGGGACCGGACUGGGCGCGCGGUUCGAGGGAGGCAGCGGCGUGGCUGGCGCCGGGACGGGCGACGGGCCCCACACGCGGGGAGGCCGAGCGGCGUGGCGCCAGGAAGAAGGAAGAGAAGGAGAGAGAAGAAGGAAGGAGGAAGAAGAAGAAAGAAGGAGGAGGAAGAAGAAAGAGCGGCGUGGACUUACUUGCAAUUUCAGCCAUGGCAUCGAGACAAUGCUCUUCCCACAUUCUAUCACGUGUGGAAGCAUGUGCGGCCCGUUCGUGGCAAUCCGGAUAGGUGCUACAGGGCCUACACGAACGAGUUUGAUGUUCUCACGCACUACCAGGUAAUUUGCUAACCAUAGUUUUUUAAGCUAAUUUGCGUAUAAUCGUAGAUGAAAUAAGUAUUGCGUGAAAAUUUUUGAAGGUGGAGUGGAAAUCGUAUGACCGUGAGCAGCUUAGCCAUAUCGUCUUUUCACCGACGUGCUACAGAGACAGAGAGCUGUGGAGGUGCACGACCCCAAUGAUAUUGUACUACGUGGUAGAGUUUCAUAUGCCGCAUAGGGUGAUGCGGCAGUUUGGGAGGAUGCAACCGUGCCCUCCUUUGGAAUUAUCGACUUCGCAGCAGCUGCACAGGUACGCAGGAAUAAAUAACUAUUGGAGGCUAUUCAAUUAACGCAAUUAACAUGUUAUACUAAUACUUCACUAAUUUCUGAUGCAGUAUCGACCGCAGAAAGCGGUACAAGGAGAAUGAUUGGAGGUUGAAGCAUGGCCAGUACCUCCUCCUGUGGCAGAACAAGCAAGGAUGCGAUCCUGAAGGUGGACCGUACUGGCGACCAAACAAUGAGUACAUAAGAUGGUACUGUACUUCGACGAGAACCAAAGUGAAACCAUCUUGGACUAAUGUGCCCAUUGAGGAUGCACCGUCUGAUGAUGACGCUGACAUAGCUGACGCGUACGACACGGUGACACGCCAUGGGACACAGCCUGAGCGUGCACCUCUCCACGACUACAUGGUAAGAUUUCGGUUUGUAAUUAUAGUAUCGUCACAUUGAUCACUUAUGGAAUGAAAACUCCUGCGUGCAGGGACAGCAGCUUGCAAGGCUCUCAAACGAGGCGGGCGUGAUUAUGGAGCACGCUGUCGGGGAAGGUGAUAGUCUGCUUCGUGCUUUUGCAGAGGUAGAAGCCCAAACUAAUUUUCACUUAUACUCGUACUAUCUUUGUAACCAUCAAUAACAUAGUCGUGAAUAUAUGGCAGAGGGUUCGUAAAAGUUGCAGGCGAAUGGCUAUGAGGAUGAACUGCAUGACAUCCUCAGAUGCGCACGACGGGGGCAAUGUCCAGGGUACUUCUUUAGGAUCACGUCGGACUGCAUUGGCGACUACCCCCAGGGCUGCAACACCGUCCACUGCGGCAGGUCCUAGCAGGAGAUCGCGAGGUAAGGAACCCGCAUCCCCUCAGGAAAGCGAGGACUCUGAAGGUGAGCAGUCUGAGGAUGAUGACCCUACGUAUGGUGAGGAACUCGAGAUUUCUCACGAUGCUCCACCUGUGACUCAGACGCAGGGAGAGUCCAGCCAGGUAUAUUCACAAGUUUCUCCAAAUUCAAUUAUACAUUUUAAUGUUCGCUCCCGAAGUGUCAUACAAAUUUUAUGAUUUGUGCCCAAUUAUUUCAUAGGAACCUACAACUCGUACCCGGUUGCCACGCCGGCGUCAUCGUUCCCGGGACCACAUCGACGUUGGCAGCGCCAAUGUGCUGCCCACGCAUCCAAGGAGGGAGCGUCGCCCAAGAGAUCCUUUUAGCCCUCCGGAUGAGCGGCGGUCACGACACUGAACCUAGCAUGUCCCAAGACUUUUGGAACCAUCACGUGUGUAAAAGACUAAGUUGGUUGUUAGGUUUAUUCAUGUCACGUUUGUAAAAGACUAAGUUGGUUGUUACAUUUUUUUUAUGUCCGUACAAUGUUAUAUGUUUGCUCCAUGAUGUACUUGUAGUUCGUGUAUUUUUUCGUAAAUGUUCAGAACAAAAAUACGUUUCGGAUUGUGCAGCGCGGUCCUGACGCCCCACCCUCCUAGGCUGAAACCUACUGAAAGGUUACUAAAAUUGACGCCCCAUCCCCCCCGGAAACCUACUGACCCCCCGCCCGAAACCUACUGAAAGGUCGUUGCGUUUGGCGCGGCACCUGACUCCUGCCGCGCCAGGUGGCCUGGCGCGGCAAGACCCCCCCCCCCCCCCGACCGAAACCUACUGAAAGUUUGGUGCAGUUGGCGCGGCAACUUCCUCCUGCCGCGCCAGGCCGGUUGGCGCGGCACCUUACUCCUGCCGCGCCAGGCCGCCUGGUGCGGCAAGAGUCCCCCCCGACCGAAACCUACUGAAAGUUUGGUGCAGGUGGCGCGGCACCUCAAUCCUGCCGCGCCAGGCCGCCUGGCGCGGCAAGGACCCCCCCCCCCCCCCCCCCCCCGCCCGAAACGUACUGAAAGUUUGGUGCAGUUGGCGCGGCACCUCAGUCCUGCCGCGCCAGGCGGCCUGGCCCGGCAAGGCCCCACCCGAACCCUUGUGGCGGUUCGUUUUGUUUGCCGCGGGACGGCCCCCACCAACCGAACUUUCAGCGGCAAGCCCCCUCCCCUGCCACCAGCGCAUUUCUGCUUCGCCAGGCGGAGUGGCGCAGCAAGCCCGUGGUUAGGAUAGAGAAUAAUAUUUAUUAGUAGGCCCGGUAAUUCUGGCUACAUUUAACACAAGGCACAUGGUACUGACAAGACGCCCACAAAGUGUUCUGCAAUAGGAUUAGAUCAGACCGGUGCGCAAUCAUGGAUAAGAAUAACACACACGUGCAUUAAAUGUUAGGGGUACGUAUUUCCCCAUUCGUACUUCGUCUUCUACUAUUAUUGCAUCACAAAUACCUUCAAGUACACCCGCUCUACCAGCGCUAUGCCUUCCUCCUCUUCCACCGCCCACUCCUCCUCGUCCUCCAUCCAAAUCAUCGAUCCCAUCGAAGCUACUACUAUUUUUUUCACACUCUAGCGCUGACUACUAGCUCGGAGAGGAAACUUUGAUGCGUUUGGACAUAGUUCUCUCGGAAAUGAAAAUAGUUUUUGACAACUAAUUGUAGUUCCCAGAAUAAACAUAAACAUAAUUUUCUCAUAAAAGAACAUAGUUUUCACAGCUACAGAGAAACAUGAUCCAGCUACAUCAACACGUUCAUCUAGUCCGAGUCACCUUCAUAUAGUAACUCGUCGUCAUCAUCAUCAUCAUCAUCAUCAUCUCCGGCAACAACAACUCCCUUGCGUUUCUUAUCGACAUUAACCUUACCAACAGGUAAAUCGGCAACAAGAGCCUUCAUCGUCUCCAUCUGUGCCUCUUCCGCUUUUUGUUGUAACUCUUCCAUUUCAAGCCUUCUUUUUCUUGCCCUAACUUUCUGCAAAUAUUGUUCCCAUGAACCCUCAGGGUAUUUCACAUUCGGAUCAACCACAUAACCUAAGCGAUCUCUUUCCUCCCUCAACCUUUGUUUCUCCAACUCCCUCUCCUCCUGCAACUUUCUCCUAUUUUCUCUCCUCUCAUUUUCAGUUAGAGGUCGUGGAUACUUGGAUCUAUUUUGCCUCCAAUACUUAAUAAUAGUUUCCCUUGCAUAAAGUCCUUUAGGUUCCACUCCAGUCUCAUGCACCAUAUCUUGAUAUAUUUUCCCCCAAAGCAAGUCGUCGUCAGGAAUAGGCACAUCAUACUUCUUCCUAAUCUUUUCUUUAAUUUCUUGUUGUUUCCUUGACUUCCAUGGUUCCGAUGUAUUUCCCAACUUUAAUAACAAAUCAUAUCGACCACAAAAAUCUUCCCAAUCACAUGUCCUUCCCUCCUGCAACAACAAUUCAAUAUUCCUUACAAAUUUGAAACAAGUUACAACCUUCAUAAAACAUAAGAGACGAGUAGUUACUAACCCAGUAAUCGCCAUGUGCAUUUCCACAGAACGAACCAUAUCCAAGUUCAGAAGGCACCACACCUUCUGUUGCCAAUAUACCACACUUGCAUCUAUCACUAGGAGAGGACACACAUGGCCACGGUGCAUUUUCACUUUCAAACUCCCGCACUUCCUCCUCUGUUGGCCACAUUGCCAUUGGGCCGUAUAUAUACUCAUUGAAAUCACACAACGGCCACCCAUCCUGCAAAAAACCCAUGACGUGAACUACUCAUAUGUAAAGUAACUACAAAACGCUGCUCCAACUUCCAAGCAAUAACAUCAAGUUAAAGUAUGAACAAUAUACUGCAAAAUUAUAACUGCUAGCUAAACGACAUACUAAUAUUCUCGUAAUAUACUUACAUGAGUCUUUAGGGAGCAUCGAAAGAAUGGAGUAAACUUAGGUGGAUCCCCUAAGUUAGGACGCAUAAGCUUAGCAGGAACACCACACUUGCACAUGGGAGGAUCCCUCACACGCCUACAAGCAGCCUCCUGCUUCUCCUCCUCGGUCAUCCUAGGUGGGUUUGGUGGAGGAGGAACCCAACGCCUAAACUGAUGGUAUGGUUUAAGCUCUGUGCUAUGAUAUGUGAAUAGGUGGAUCCUAGGAUCAUAUUUGUCGGGUCCAUCGAUCCACUGAAAGAAAUCACAAGGUGCGGCAGGCAGUGGAUCAAAAGUCCAUUUGCAUACAUAGAAGGCUCUUCCGGCUGUCUUUGGAUGCCUUGAUUGUUUCACCUCUGCUUGCGCGCCACAUCUACAAAGAGGUACCGGAAGGGCAGGAGGUACGGGACCAGCACCAUUGGACUCGCCCACAUAACGCACAUACCACCUACGCCGUUUGUAUUCACAACCAAACAACGCCAUCUCACCUGGAAAUCAAGUGCAACAAAUUUAAUACACAAAUAAACUUUACACACGUAAUCCAUACUAGCUAUAUACAUCAUUUUGAUAAAAUGUAAACACUCGAUCUACAAAAUACAAACACUGAAACAAAAAUGAGACUAAUUAAUUGAAGAUAUAAAAAAAAUACAUGUCAUGUAAACCACACAAUUGGAUGAAUAUAUACCUAAAUCGAAGCAUUCAACAAGUUCUACACGUCAAUAUCGCGGGCAGAGACUCAAUUGCGUAUGAACUACGUAUCAUCUAACACAAAACACCAUUGCAUUUCAUUGAAAUUUCAAAUCACUAACCUAACCCUAAGUCACCUAAACAUCCUCCGAUCUACCAAAUGCAAUGGUAAAACACGAGAAUAAGUAGGGGAAUACCUUCCACACGAAGUAGGGAUCGAUUUCCACUACUUUCCCCCACCAAAAACGCCAGAUUUUGGGUGGAUUUGGGGGUGGGGCGGCGGGGGCUGGCGUUGCAAGGUGCUGCUGUGUGGUGUGUCUGGAGGAGGAAGAAAGGAGGGAGGGAGGAGGAAGGGAGCCGGCGCGUCGAUCUAGUGCCGGCCCUGCCGCGCCAGGCGGGCUGGCGCGGCGAACGCCCCGCCCACGUCAGCGCCCACCUGGCGCCGCGACUCGCCGUGCCCGUGCAUGCGGCGCGGCAGCGUGUUCCUGCCGUGCCAGGCGGUCUGGCGCGGCCAAAAGGGUCACGCCGCGCAAAUUACACCCGGGUGAGGUUAUUUUUAAAAAUAAAGAAAAAAAGGGUUAAAAAUUAAAAAAAGUUCACUCAGAGAUAUAUUGUCUCAAAUAGUAAGCAAGAAUGAGUUUGACCAGUUGUAGUCGGAAAAUUGGGAGACGCUGCAGCUCAUAUGCAAAAUGAGAGACUACUUAAUUGGCAAGAGGUAACCAGAAAUACUUUCUUGUACUAUAAUAAUUAGCCAGUUCAUCUAGCUAUGGCAAUGUUGUGAGGUCUUUGUCAAUCACAUGAGCUCACCUAAUUUAUCGGCCAUUUUACGAUUGUAUUUUACGGACCCAUUCGAGCACUACGGGAAACCUCAAAGUCGCCGAGUGUAAUUACUUCACCGAGUGCAUUUUUUCGGGCACUCGGUGAAGGACCUUUUUGCCGAGUGUAAUAUCAAAAACACUCGGCAAAAAUCAAACACUCGGCGAACGACCGGUUUGCCGAGUGCCACCCAAAAAACACUCGGCAAACAUCCAAGAGACACUCGGCAAAGUUGGACACUCGGCAAACUGACGACCACGUGACUUCCCCGUGCCGCCGCCGGCAGCCCUCCGUGACGGACGUUAGUCUUUGCCGAGUGUCAAUGGAGGGCACUCGGCAAAGGCACUAGUUUGCCGAGUGUCAUGAUGGGACACUCGGCAAAGUGGCCUGUAUGCCGAGUGCUAGGGGGCACACUCGGCAUACUAUAGGGUUUGCCGAGUGUCUUUUGACACACUCGGCAAAAAUAAUUUUUUUUCCCUCCUCCACCCUCCAAACUUUUUACACUCCACAUGUAUGGCAUUUGGCACUGCAUGGUAGAAGAUGGACUAUUUUUUGACCUGUUUGCUAUAUUUAAUCAAUUAAUUUCAUUUAGAGUAAUUUUUUGAUUUAAGUCAAAUUUGAACUGCAGGUGGUUGGAAUAAUGGAAUAACAUGAGUGGAAAAAUCAUAUUCAUGUUAGUGAGUCCAAAUUGAGGUCUCACCCAGAAAAUGAAAAGAAAUUUCGAACAUUUUGCUAAGGAAACACGACUACGAACGUGUGGCCAAAUGAUUGUUUAAUUCUCAAAAAUACAAACGAAGUUUGAAAAUCAUGAGAUUUUGCAAGAUGCUAUGAUUUCGUAUGCAGAGGCUGUGGUAAAAAAUUGACAAGGUUUCGCACAAGUUUUGACAUAUGAUGUUUAGAAUUCGAAGCAUCUACCGAGAGGAUUCGUAGAAGUUGAAAGGAUCCGGUAAGAUUUUGAGACGAAUCGAUACAUGUAUUUUUCAUUGAGUCCAAUCUUUUUUAUAGGCUAUAGAGAACAUAGAUUGGUUCAUGUCAAAUUUUGGGAAUUUUUCAGAUCCGUUUGGUAAUUUUUAUUCAUUAAUUGCAUGUAUAUAAAUUUAAUAGAUAUAAAUUUAAUAUGAGCUAUAAAUCCAUGAAAUGAUGGAACAAUAUUACUUAAAAAAUGAAAUACGCAAUGUUUAGUGAAUUUGACUAGGUUUUUGCAAACUUUACAAUCUUUUAAUUACUAAAACUAGUUUCACAUGAAAUAAUAGUACUCAUUUGCCGAGUGUCAAGGGAUGGCACUCGGCAAAGAGCCUAUUUGCCGAGUGUCCAAUUUGGGACACUCGGCAAACAUCGCCGCGGUCCACCUGCCAGCCCCCUGCGAAAUCUGAAUAAAAAAAUUAAAAAAAAAUGUUUGCCGAGUGCUUAUGAUCUAGCACUCGGCAAAGGCUUUGCCGAGUGCUAGAUCAUAAGCACUCGGCAAACAUCGCCGCGGUCCACCUACCAGCCCCCUGCGUAAUCCGAAUAAAAAAAUUAAAAAAAAAUGUUUGCCGAGUGCUCCUGAUCUAGCACUCGGCAAAGGCUUUGCCGAGUGCUAGAUCAGGAGCACUCGGCAAAGUGGCCUUGGCAGCACUUAGCCACGCACGCACACGCCCGGCCACACGCACGCACGCCUUGGCAGCACUUAGCCACGCCCGCAGCCGCCCCGGCCCCUGCGCCCGCGCCGCCGCCGCCGCCCGCCCGGGCCGGGAUAAGGCCCCGACCUCCCCUGCGGCCCCGGCCGGCCUCCCCUGCGCCCCCGGCUGGCCUCCCGCGCCGGCCCCCCACGGCCGUCCUCGUCCGGCCGUUCGGCCGCCGCACCGUCCCCCGGCCGCCCCUCCGGUAAGUUGAAAAUAUUAGAGAAUGCAUGAUAACAUUGCAAAGAAUAGAGGAAGAGUAGAAAUUAGAAAAUGUUGAUUCUUCCUUGAAUGGAAAAAUAUUAGAGAAUAGAGGAAGAAUAGAGGAAGAAUAUUAGAGAAUAGAGGAAGAAUAGAGGAAGAAUAUUAGAGAAUGCAUGAAUGGAAGAGAGGUGUGGUUGGUAAUAGAGAAAAUGUUGAUUCUUCCUUGAAUGCACGGUAACAAAUUAGAAAAUGUUGAAAAGAAUAGAGGUGUGGUUGGUUGUGGUUGUGGUUGUUGGCCAUCGUGCCAACUCUUUGGUGAGAUUGUGGUUGUCGGCCAUCGUGCCGUUUCUUAUGUUGCAGGUUUUGGAAAGCUCCCCGUGCAGGGGAGAUGCUGCCGAAAUUUUGACUUAAACAAUGCUUUGUUUCUUUUGUUGCAGGAGAGGCUUACAAGGACCGUCCUCGACUCGUCACUUUGCAGGAUAGCAAGGUGAGGCAUGCUACACCUCUAUUUCCGUAUAAUGUUUGUAUAUCACGUAACCUAGUUAGGCGUCUCCCGUUCGAAAGAGAUACGGUUGGAAAUAUGCAGAUCUUUGCAUAUCUAUAAUCGUAUCUGUUUCAAAUUGUCCACGUUUUUUGGACAGCCCGAGGAUGUGUAGGUGGGUUUAGUAUCCACGGUCUACUCCGACCCGAGAUAAAAUUUCGGCAGCACCUCCCUGUUGUUCUCUAGAUACACAAUCUCCUAUCAUGGACGUGUAUUUGGAGAACAGCGGGGAGGUGCUGCCGAAAUUUUAUCUCGGGUUGGAGUAGACCAUGGAUACUAAACCCACCUACACAUCCUCGGGUGGGAUUAGGACCUAUCUUUACCUAGUAGACAAUAUAGGAAUGUGUAUAUGCAAUGUGAAUUUUGUAUUACUUAUUUAAAUGGUAGAGGAUGGAGGAUCGUCAGUGGAUGUACACGGGUCGCACUAGUCAGAAUACGUUGACCAAUGAAUGGCUUGACAAGACGGAUGCUUUCUUGGAACGGGCGUUUGCAAGUGUCAAUGGAGCUCGAUCGACUUGGUGUCCGUGCAGCAAAUGUGGAAACAUGCGUCGGCAAACCAAGCUAGACAUGGGCAAACAUCUGGUGAAGAACGGAUUUACGUCAGACUACACCAGGUGGAUCUACCAUGGUGAAUCUGACCGUGGGAGAGAGGAGGUCUUGAGACAACGCAUCGAGGAAUUUGAUGAUGAUGCCGGGGUGGGAGACAUGUUAAAUGACUAUCAUGAAGCACACUUCGAAGAGGCACGUAGGGAGGAGGAGCCAGAGGCUACCGCUAAGGCUUAUUACGAAAUGUUGUCUGCGGCACAGCAACCCCUUCACGGCCAUACCAAGAUUUCUCAGCUAGAUGCCAUUGCACGCCUAAUGGCUGUGAAGUCUCAGUUUAGUUUGAGUCGAGACGCGUUUGAUAUUAUGUUGACAGUUUUUGGAAGCCUGCUCCCGGUUGGUCACAUCUUGCCAAAGAGCAUGUAUGAGGCACAGAAACUCCUUCGUGCACUUAAGAUGCCAUACGAGCAUAUACAUGCUUGCCCGAAGGGAUGCAUCUUAUUUAGAAAAGAGUAUGCGGAAGCAAAAUACUGUGUGAAGUGUGAAUCGUCUAGAUUUCUGGAGGUUGACUAUGGUGACGGUCAGAAAAAGCAGCUCGCAAUUCCUGUGAAGGUUCUACGGUAUCUUCCUUUCAUACCGAGGAUCCAACGGCUUUUCAUGACUGAAGAAUCCGCGAAACAGAUGACAUGGCACAAAAAUAGCCGUUGCUAUAAUCCUGAGAAGCUGGUACACCCAUCCGAUGCUGAAGCCUGGAGAAGCUUUGAUGCGAUUUAUCCUGCAAAAGCUCUAGAGGCCCGUAACGUACGCAUUGCGUUGGCAACUGAUGGGUUCAAUCCCUAUGGAAUGGCGGCCGCCCCGUACACCUGUUGGCCCAUUUUCGUUAUCCCCCUGAAUCUCCCACCCGGCGUCCUAUUUCAACGACAUAAUAUAUUCUUGUCGUUGAUAAUUCCAGAGCAUCCGGGGAAUAAUAUGAGUGUGUAUAUGGAGCCUCUGAUUGAUGAUUUGCUCCGUGCUUGGGAGGAAGGGGUAUGGACCUAUGACCGAUCCACAAAGACAAACUUCAAGAUGCAUGUUUGGUACCAGUACUCACUGCAUGACUUGCCGGCAUAUGGGAUUUUCUCCGGAUGGUGUGUUCACGGGAAGUUCCCAUGCCCAAUAUGUAAAGCAUCUUUGAAGUUCAUUUGGUUGUCGAAAGGUGGCAAAUAUUCUUCGUUCGACAAACAUCGACAAUUCCUCCCUCCUGACCAUCCAUUUAGACGAGACAUGAAGAAUUUUACCAAAGAUGUUGUAGUUACAGCCCCCGCACCACCGAUGAUGACAGGGGCCGCAGUUCGUGCUCAGUUAGACGCUCUUGAGUUCAAUAAUGAAGAAGGUGGUUUUUUGGGAUAUGGCGCGCAACAUGCUUGGACGCAGAAGUCGUGCUUGUGGAAGCUUCCCUAUUUUGAUGAUCUCCUUGUUCCACAUAACAUUGAUGUAAUGCACACGGAAAAAAAUAUCGCCGAGGCAAUUUUUGGUACAAUAAUGGACAUUCCUGACAAGACAAAGGAUAACGUUAAGGCUAGAGUGGAUCAAGCGACAUUGUGCAACAAACCACAGCUAAACAUGGCGCCUCCAAGAGCUGGCAAGUCGUGGAGAAAGCCUAAGGCCGAUUUCAUUCUGACGAGGGCCCAAAGGAGGGAGGUUCUAGAAUGGUUCCAAACAUUAAUGUUCCCUGAUGGCUAUGCAGCGAACUUGAAGAGGGGAGUGAAUUUAGCAACUAUGCGAAUCAACGGGCUCAAGAGUCAUGAUUACCAUAUAUGGCUUGAGCGCCUCCUUCCGGUGAUGGUUCGAGGCUAUGUCCCUGAGCAUGUGUGGCAGGUGCUAGCGGAGUUGAGCAAUUUCUUCCGCCGGCUUUGUGCGAAGGAGUUAUCUCGUACCGUGGUUGCAGAAAUGGAAACAAUGGCGCCUGUGUUGCUCUGUAAGUUGGAGAAGAUCUUUCCUCCAGGCUUCUUCAAUCCAAUGCAGCAUAUGAUUCUACACCUCCCGUAUGAAGCACGAAUGGGGGGGCCUGUGCAGGGUCGUUGGUGCUACUCAAUUGAGAGAUGUCAAAAGGUUCUUCGAACUAAAUGUAAGAAUAAGUGCAAAAUUGAAGCAUCCAUUGCAGAGGCAUACAUUCUGGAGGAGGUGUCAAACUUCACAUCGAAAUACUACGCUGACAACCUUCCUAGCGUGCAUAAUCCACCUCCUCGUUACAAUGCUAGUGAAGAUGAAUUAAGCCUUAGCAUUUUCCGAGGGCAACUCGGAAGUGCAAGUGGUGCGACCCUCAAGACCCUUAACCAUGAAGAGUGGCGCUCUAUCAUGCUGUAUGUGUUGACCAACCUAUCUGAAGUGGAGCCGUACAUGAUGUAAGUCAUCGACAAACUUGUUUCGACGUAUUAAUGGUAUCUCUUGCCUAAACGUAUCUUUCUUGUUGGUAUAGGCAAUUUCAUCGUCAAUUCUGGCAUAAAUCAAGGCAACCGGCCCCGCACGAAGCUGAGACUCUUCUUAAAGAGGGUGCGGGAAAUGGAAUGCCCGAUUUCAUUUCUUGGUUCAAACAGAAGGUACAAUUUCAUUUCUUCGAACAUUCUCGUUCUCGUCCGAUAUAGAUUUCAACCCAGACGACCCGUCCGAGGCGUACAGCCACCCUAGCAUACACAGCCGCGUCAGCGAGUACACAAAGAUGGCUAGGGAGGUUCACGGGCCAGACUUUGAUCCGAGCUCCGAGGACAUUGAUGGACAAAUCGUGAUGAGGGUGGGAGGAGGCAAGAAGCAUGGCCGAUAUUGGAUUGGCGACGGCGUCAUCGACACGGCCUCUACUCCCACUCUCUCCCAGAUUCGAGCUAGGAGCACGGACUCGAGCCCGGCGGUACGCCCAUGACCCACCGCUGCAUAGUUCCAGAUGGAGGCUCUACAGGUUCUUUCUCUUCCAUUCAUCGUUCGUUUGUUGUUGUACUUUAGCUUUGCAUUAUAACAUUGCAAUGAAAUAUUGUAGGCCCAGGUGGAAGAAUCAAGGAAGAAACAAGAGGAGAUGGCGGCGCAGAUGGAGGAAAUGCGGCGGAGGAUGAAGGAGGAAAACCGGAUUAGGAUGGAGCAGAUGUUCCAGUACAUGCAGAACUUUGCUUCGAGCAUGGGACAGUCUUUGCCUCCGCCACCGCCGAUGAUGUUCCCUCCGCCUCAGCCACCCACGACUACUCCUGUGAGUCACUUGACACAUUGUGCUUAAGAUUCAAUAGUUUAAAUUUGACAACUUUAGAUGUUACCUCAGAAUGUCCUAUCCUAUGUGCAGAAUCAAUCGGCGGCUUCGAAUAAUGAAGAUCAAGAUUUGUCGCAGUGGUCUCCUUGGCCUCCACGGAAGUAGACUUGGUUGUGAACAAUGUGGAAACUAAAUUGUGACAAGAACUUGGAUUUAUGGAUUAUUUCGUGCUUAUGUUGAAUUAUGCCUGUGAUGUUUAUGAAUUAUGCCUGUGGUUGUGAAUUAUCCAUGUGAUUGUUUAUUACAAAUGCCUGUGAUAUGUGUAUUGUGAAUUGAGAGGGGUCCGUUAUACGUGGCAAAAUGUCGAAAAAGGGGCGGUUCUGGUCACUUUGCCGAGUGUAACACUCAGCAAAGAGGGGCCUUUGCCGAGUGUUUUGGCCUUAACACUCGGCAAAGGGGCAUUUCCCAGGUGUAGGAAAGGUCCUUUGCCGAGUGUUUUGGCCUUAACACUCGGCAAAGGGGUAUUUCCCAGGUGUAGGAAAGGUCCUUUGCCGAGUGCUAUGGUCAAGGCACUCGGCAAAGGGGCAUUUUUUGCCGAGUGCUAUGGUUAGGGCACUCGGCAAAGGGGGCCGCUUUGCCGAGUGCCCGGGACCCGGCACACGGCAAAGGGGGCCGGUUUGCCGAGUGCCCCGUGGAUGACACUCGGCAAAGGUCCGGUCUUUGCCGAGUGUUGGCACUCGGCAAAGACCCGGUGUUUGCCGAGUGCCUCCCGUUUGGCACUCGGCAAACCCGCCGUUACCCCGACGCCGUCAGUCCGCAAUUCGCCGAGUACACCUUUUCGCUGAGUGUUUUUUGGCCGUCGGCAACAUGUUUGCCGAGUGUUCGAGUUUUGACACUCGGCGAACUAGUCUUUGCCGACCACAUAUGCAUUUGUUACAUGAUUCCUCAACCAAUAUAAUGCAUGCAGGUACUUCAUCUUGAUUGAUGAUAUCUGGAAUGUAUCAGAUUGGGAGCUUGUAGAAGCUGCCUUACCUCGCAAUGACAACGGAAGCAGAAUAAUUACUACAACACGCAGUAAAACAGUAGCCGAAACAUGUGCUGGUAUUGACGCACAAAUGUACAAAGCAAAGCCACUUGGUGAUGACGAAUCUCGCAGAUUAUUCUUUAAAAGGCUAUUUCACUCAACUGAACAUUGUCCCCAAGAUUUGAUGGCAGUAUCCAGUGAUAUUUUGAGGAAAUGUGGGGGAUUACCAUUAGCCAAAUCAGUAUAGCUGGUUUAUUAGCAAACAGAAGCCAAACCAAGGAAGUCUGGGUCAAUGCAUUGAAGUAUAUUUCUGCUGCAGUUGACAAAGAUUCUCACAUUGAUAAAAUGAAAAGAAUUUUUCUGCUUAGUUACUUCGACCUUCCUCUUCAUCUAAAGAGCUGUAUGUUAUAUCUGAGCGUGUUCCCGGAGGAUUAUGUGAUUGAUUGGAGCCGGUUGAUAUUGUUAUGGGUAGCCGAAGGACUGAUUCCUGGACAAGGCAGAGAAAAUAUGGAGCAGCUUAGGAGGAGUUACUUGAAUGAAAUUAGAGGCUUGGUCCAGCCAACCAAGGUUGGGGCAGAUGGCGCAACAGCGAAAGAGUGCAGAGUUCAUGAUGUCAUACUUGAGUUUAUUGUAUCAAAGGCUGUGGAGGACAAUUUUGUUACUAUAUGGAAUUGUAAUGGGUUUUCUGAAAAUUAUUCUUCUAACAAGAUUCGCCGUUUAUCUAUCCAAAAUGGCAUUUCUAGGCGGUCUAAAGAGAUGGAGAGGAUAAAAGAACAUGCAACUCAUAUUCGAUCAAUUAAUAUUUUUGACCCUAAUUCAGUGCUGCUAAUUAAAAACACCUCUAUGUUUUUAAGUAGCCAAGUCUUGCGAGUGCUGAAUACAGAAACUCAGGAUGAGUUACUUGAAGAAGAUUGCUAUCUUGGACAUGUCAAAAGUUUUGGUCAAAUGAAGUACUUGAGGUUAAAAUUUUGGUCAUCAAUAUGCCACUGCAAACUCCCAAAAGAUAUAGAAAAGCUGCAACAUCUAGAGACACUAGAUGUUAGGAAUACCCGCAUUAAAAAACUACCGGCUAGCAUUACCCAACUGCAGAGAUUAGUGCGUUUUCUUGUCAAUGCUGAGGUAAAACUACCUGAUGGGAUUGGAAAUCUGCAGGCAUUGGAAGAGCUAUCAUUGAUCGGGUUGAGUUUUCAAACUAUCAAGUUUAUCCUGAGUUGGAAUUUAUUGGGAGUACCCUUAUGCAGUAGUACGUCACGUGGACGUGGAAGUAUGUAUCUCGUCACUCUCCAAGCUUAUCACAACCCUUCGAAAACUGCACGUCGUGGAUGCUCCAUUCAUGUCUUCGUGUGGCUCUACUCCACCACCCCUUCGGAGGCUCAUCUUUUACGGACGUGGUGGACCAUCAAAUCAUCAGCUCAGCAGUCAAGGAUUCCAGCAUUUAUAGUCAAGUCUAAUUUCGUGUGUGCUGAUGAGGGGGUGUUGGAGUUUGAGCCAGGAGCCAAGAUUAAUUAUGAGCACGGGGUCAAGUUGUGGCUGGUGGCACGGGGUCAGUUCAAUUAUGAGCAAGGCGGCCUGGUCCUUGGGCUGCAGAAUCUGGCAGGCCUCAGACAUGUUGCUCUUACUAUUGACUGUGCGUGAUUUGGAGGAUGACAUCAGGGUUGCAGCAGGCGCCCAUCCCAACUGUCCCAUGGUCCAGCUGGUCAAAAAAGUACGUCAAGAUUGUAUGGCUCAAGGGUGCAGCAGGCGCCCACGCAACCAUCCCAUGCUAGAAGCACAAUGACCAAGUAAAUGCAUGGUGUGGAGAAUAAAUAUCAUUAUCAAUGAUGAUCUUUUUUUUCCUGUUUCAAGAGCACGUUGGAAUUAAACAAGGUUAAUUCGAUUUGUUUUCAUCUUAGUUUUUGCUUUAUGACAACAUGUGUGCGCAUGCAGAUUGGCCUCUCGGAUCUAUGGAGUGCUGAUAUGUGUUGCUUGAUAUGAUGGUGUUGUGUCGAGGUGGGUUUGGGAUGUGUGCUUGGAGCGAAGGCAUUUGCCCUUCGCCGGGCCAACGAUGCUGACACCUGUUGGUGCCACAUCCCUCUCUAUUGACUACGAAGGAGUGACUACGUUAAGCUCUUCCUCCAUAUAUGGAUUGUAGGUUGCUACGUAAUUUUGAGACGUAUGUUGAGUUUAAGAUCUUAUGUUGUUUAUCACUUACUGGAUCUCUUUCUUCUUUCUUUCUUUUAUAUUUCCUUUUGACAAGGUUGUGUGUUGUUGCAUAGGCGGCUGGAAUCUAAGCUUUCUUCAUCCAAAAGAAGAUUAUGUAAAACAACCAGAAAGAAACAAAAGGGGGGCGGUUAAUCUCCUUCUAAGGGGAUUAGGGUGGGGGGAUUUUGACUGGUAGGGGAUGUUUUGUAGGAGGAUGUGCACCACAACAUAAGUAACAUGGAAUCUGUGGGUACACUUUUGGCAACAUACCUUCAAACCACAUUCUAUGCAACAAUAAUCUUGUGCAAACCAUAUAUAGCUAUGCCCACCAUUUUUAGAACAAUGUUCAAUAGACUACCAUAUGUAUAUGAACGUGCACGAUGGAUAUUAGAGACAAAACAUAGUAGUAGUAUAACUUGCACAAAACUACAUUUAUGAUCUUUUGUAUUUGAGCCAGGAAGUUCUUUCAAAAGAUAACCCACAAGAAAGCACGCACUGGUCUUGUUGUGCACUAUACGUUAGGUGUUGCAAUUGCAUAUAAUCUGUUUUAUUUAGUUAGUUUGAACAACCGUGCAUGGCUAGGCACUUCCGAAAGGCUUCACUUCAAGUAAUUGUCAAACCAGUCGAUCAUUAGACCAAGAGCUUGCUCAGCAGUUUAUAUCUACAAGCAAAUCCAUGUGCAACUCCUGGAAAGACCUUGGCGUAGUAGGGAAUCUGCAAACAACCAAUGCCACAAAAAUGAGCUUUUCCAACUGAUAUAUAGUAUCCUCUAUGACGGAAUCACUAGGAACUCACCUCUGUUCUAUGACGCAAUACACUCACAUACUGGUACACUAGUUUUGGCGGUGCGACUUCGUCAUAUUGAGCUCCAAGGAUCUCGAUUGGACAUUUAACCUCUGUUUUGAAUGGUCAUAUAGUUAGCAUACGAAAUUAAGCACUUAAGUUCAGUUCCAAAGACAUCUCAAUCGAUGCUGUCUGGGAGGUUGCAAACACAAAGAAAAGGAGCAAACCUUUCAUGUCAUCAGUAGUCACAAUGUAAGGAUGAGAAAUGGAAACUACUUUAACAUCACUGGUUUUCCCCAUCUCUACACUAAACUUUCCUGUCAGUUACGCGGCAAUAGGAGAUAAGAAUUUUAUGCUCUGUAUGUUGCCUGAAGAAGGAUUUUGGAAGCUGGAAUUUCACUCACCACCCCAGCAAUAACCUCCCACCCCGAUGGACUUUCCUUCCUUUUUGAAAGCAGCAAAGAGUGGCUUGGCGUCUUUGGCAGCUUUUACCUGCCAGAUCGAUCGGAUACUCAAAUCAAUAUAUUUUCAACUCAUGAUGCAAUGAGCAUAAGAUGAAAUUUGAAAGGGACAUGGAACAGACCUGGGAGUGGAGCUUGAUCCACUCUGAAAUGUUUUUACUUGAGUCUAAAUAAUCUCCAUUGAAGAAAUCAGGCACCACAACAAAGUAUCCAGCCUCGCUAACUUUAUCGGCUAUCUGUCUGCAUCAUUAAAAGAUCAAGAAAGGGAUGAACAAUAGCUAGUACAGAGAGGGAUUCUUGCGUCGUUGUACUCCAAACAAAAUGCAAUCUAUCUCAUAUGAGAAUUAACUUUCACUGGAUUGUCUUUUUUUUGGAAAAAAAAACUGUACUGUAUUUUACUCUGUACAGAAGCACAAAGCAUUGUUAUGUUUUUUAAAAAAAGAUAGUCAAAUAAAAUUUGCUCUAGAUCUUCAAAGUCUCUAAAAUCAUUUGUUGAUAUUUAAAAGCAGUUUGCUAUGGUUAUGAUUGCGUUGCUACUUGCUACAAGCAUCAUAAGGGAGUACUAAGCAGGAAAAAUCGAAAGCAUGCCAGCCGAAUGAUCUAGUUCUUCAAAGUCUCUAAAAUCUGGAGAGAUGCUAGUUGACCAAGAACAGAGCAUCUUGAUCUACGAUAGUAAGCCAGAGUAGAGCAAGAAAGAACACAAAAUUUGGGAAUUAAAAGACCGUAGAUAUAUUUAUGUACCUGAGUAAAGGUGCCUCGAACCCUGAGGAAAUCAAUCAAAAAGUGGAGAAAAAUUUCCUGUCAAAACGUACGCCCAAAUUGACUAGAAACUGCAUAAGUGUAGUACUACGGUCGAAACACCAACCGAAAACAUCGGAGGCGAGGACGAUGGCGCGGCUUGAGCUUGCAGCUGAAGGAUUGAAAGGGCGAUAAAAGGAGGUGAAUGGGAGCCUAUAAAAAUUCUCAACAAGAAUAAGGCCUAUGUCCCAAAUGCAACCCCAAAGCACACAGCACGUUGUAUCGUCAAGAUGACGCAAGUCAACUCGUGACAAGCUCAUCCUAGGAAUGAUACACGUAUCGAAAGCAAAGUUCAAAGUGAUCCGAAUACGUGCUUGACAUGGCGGAAACAUAAAGUGACUCACAAUCAGAUUCAAGCAAGCCCACAAAAAACUUACUCAACUAAGCAUAAUUAGCAAGAGAGAAAACACAUUAGUACUCAAGCAAGUGAACAAGUAUUAGUUGGCUAAGUGUUAGGAUUAACAGAGGAUUAGAAAAGCUAAUUUAACACCGAACAACAAUGGAUUAGAACGGUGCUAUCAGCCAUGUGCAAGAACUAAUAAUGAUUACUCAAUGAUUUGAUCACUGUAGCUAGAAAGCAACUCUUCGUGGCACGAAGGCACUACCUGCUACUUGCGUUGCUUGCCUGCUCGCUGCUUGGCUUGUCGCCGUGCUUGCGGCCUGGUCUGGCCCGCGACGCAUCAGCUACUCCUGGGUCGCAAGCUCCAGACGGCCUGCUAGCGAUCAGCACCUGGGGCAGCCUGCCAACUCGCUGGGCUGCCGGCCUGCGAAGGCUGCUGGGCCGCUGCUUGCUUCCACCGGCCCGCGUGCCGCUCGCUGUGAACGGCCUGGCAGCAAGUGUAGCGCUGCUCCGUCACCUGCGCACCCGAACAGAAGGAAACGAAGAACAGAGAGAAGAACAGCAAGAACACCCAAGAACACACGUAACUUCGAAUCGUGAGAUCUCCUUCCGCACUCCACGCAUCAAGAUGAAACUUGACCCAAGGAUGCACUACCCUAGGAAAAAUAGAUCCAUGAGACAAAUCACGAAAAUCUCAAGUAUUCAUCGCAAAUCUUAGGGAAAAUCAAAACCCUAACUCAAACUCGGUUUUGGAAGAAACUCAAAAUUCAAGUCGGAUUCGUGAGAUAUAUGGAAGGGGAUCAUAUUAAAGAAGCUCCACGAAGUCCUAGCAACAUUCCCCUUUAACCAAACUCACGAGAUUCGGGCUCCAACAAGAUGAACGAAAAUUCUCAAAAAUGAGUCCAAAAAUAGGAAAAAAGAAAAACGCUCGGGAACAAAGAUUUUGCACGAUUUGAGACAACAAACCACACUAAAUCACGAGAGCAUCUUCUUUACAAAAGAGGGCUAGCCUCCUCCCUUCAUCCACCCACUAAAAGAUGAAAAAAUCAAGAGAAAAGAGUAAUCACUCUCUAAUCUCCCUCUCUCCUCUCACUUUAAGCACAUGACUAGCCUCUAAGCCAAAAGAUAAUGAGUUGCUAAGCAAAGAGGUGCUGAAAUAACCAGCCCCCCAUCCCUAUUUAUAGUCCAGGACGAAAGACUAUACUACCACUACAGCUAUAACUAAGAUAACUACCCACGCAGGGGCAUUUUGGUCCAAGUUUUUAUCUGCGCUAAGACUAUACUACCCCUAUAGCUACAACUAAGACUAUAAUGUUUUGCUUUUCGUGGUCGAAAAGAUUAGAUAGAUAUUUUGUACUGUAGUUGCUCAUCACUCCAAUUAUGUACACUUCUUCGCGCGUUAGGUCCCGUUUGGAUACCCUGCUAAAGUUUAGCACCUGUCACAUCGGAUGUUUGGAUCCUAAUUAGGAGUAUUAAACAUAGGCUAAUUACAAAAUUAAUUGCACAUAUGGAGUCUAAUUCGCGAGAUGAAUCUAUUAAGCCUAAUUAGUUCAUGAUUUGAUAAUGUGGUGCUACAGUAACAAUUUGCUAAUGAUGGAUUAAUUAGGCUUAAUAGAUUCGUCUCGCAAAUUAGCACAGGAUUCUGCUAUUAGUUUUAUAAUUAGCUCAGGUUUAGUCCUCCUAAUUAGCAUCCGAUCAUUUGAUGUGACACUGUUAAAAUUUAGCACAUAAAUAUCCAAACACCCCCUUAUUUCAUUUUUGAUCUUGGAGUCGCCGCUGCCGACCUCGAGACUGGACUAGGGUGGCUGGCUUAAUCCCACCCUGCUGGGAUCAGCCUCCAUGGGGGCGACAGAUGCCACUGCCUAGGCAUGGUGGUGGCUGUUGCUGUAGCCCAGCGUUUGCAGGUGUACUGUGUCCCUGACAAUAUGUGUGCGCAUGCAGAUUGGCCUCUCGGAUCUAUGGAGUGCUGAUAUGUGUUGCUUGAUGGUGUUGUGUCGAGGUAGGUUUGGGAUGUGUGCUCGGAGCGAAGGCCUUUGUCCUUCGCCGGCAAACGAUGGUGGCGCCUGUUGGUGCCAUAUCCCUCUCUAUUGACAACGAAGGAGUGACUACGUUAAGCUCUUCCUCCAUAUAUGGAUUGUAGGUUACUAGGUAAUUUUGAGACGUAUGUUGAGUUUAAGAUCUUAUGUUGUUUAUCACUUGCUGGAUCACUUUCUUCUUUCUCUCUUAUAUUUCCUUCUGACAAGGUUGUGUGUACUACCUUGUUACAUAGGCUAGAAUCUAAGCUUUCUUCAUUCAAAAGAAGAUUAUAUAAAAUAACUAGAAAGAAACAAAAGGGGGCGGUUAAUCUCCUUCCAAGGGGAUUGGGGUGGGGGAGAGGGGGAUAGGGAUUUUGACUGGUAGGGAAUGUUUUGCAGGAGGAUGUGCACCUCAACAUAGGAGGCGUUUGGUUCCCUUUGCUUAUUUUGAGCACGUGUCACAUCGAAUGUUUAGAUACUAAUUAGGAGUAUUAAACAUAGACUAUUUACAAAACCCAUUACAUAAGUGGAGGCUAAAUGGCGAGACGAAUCUAUAAGCCUAAUUAAUCCAUCAUUAGCAAAUGUUUACUGUAGCAACACAUUGUUAAAUCAUGGACUAAUCAAGCUUAAUAGAUUCGUCUCGCAAUUUAGCCUCCACUUAUGUAAUGGGUUUUGUAAAUAGUCUACGUUUAAUACUCCUAUUAGUAUCUAAACAUUCGAUAUGAUGGGUGCUGAAAAUAAGCAAGAGGAACCAAACCAGGCCAUAAGUAACAUGGAAUCUAUGGAUACACUUUUGGCAACAUACCUUCAAACCACAUUCUAUGCAACAAUAAUCUUGUGCAAACCAUAUAUAACUAUGCCCACCAUUUAUAGAACAAUGUUCAAUAGACUACCAUAUGCAUAUGAACGUGCACGAUGCACUACGAGAAUGUCCAAGUUUGCCGUGUGUCCACGGCACACGACGAAGCCAAAAAAACCUCAGCAAAGCCUUUGCUGAGUGGGCAUACAUAGUGCCGGUAAAAAUUUCUUUGCUGAGUAUUUUUUAUCGGGCACUCAGCAAAGACUUUUUUUUUAAGAAACAGGAGGGGGAGACCCCUACUGAAUUUAUUAAAGAGCUAAACAACAAAAGGGUCCAAAUACAAAUCAAGACCGAGAGAUCAAAAAUAAAAUAAAAAAGCAAGAACCAAAAGUAAGAACUGGGAACAACAUUUACAGGGAAUCUACCAAGCUAACAUAAGUGACUGGAUCUGGGUCUUGGCCCUAUGAAGAGCUACCAUGCGAAAUUCCGAGACAAAUUUCCGUUUGAUGUUCCUGAUCAUCGGAGCAGAAUUAUUGAAGAGCAGACUUUGCCAGUGCUAAAAUUGACGCUCGGAAAAAAAAAGCAACAUGACAGUGCGAAAACGGUCAUGCCACGUUUGCCGAGUGUCUAAUGGCAUGGACACUCCACAUGUUUGCCGAGUGUCCACCGAAAAAAUCCUCGACAAACAUGAGUCAUUUUAGACUUUAGGCACAAUUUCCUAAAGGAACACCAGAAAUUUCACAUAAAUUUUCACAUUAGCUGUGUAAAUAAUAGCAAAGUUCUUGCAAGGUGACCAUACUUGCAAGGUAUGCUCGUACAAGUUCAAAUUUGUUGUAAAUCUGCAGUUACAGUCCGAACAUAUAAUGACCUGAACAGCAAAAAGAUCUGCCUCGACAGCACCAGGGGAGGUGGGAGCUCACUCUUUACUGCUUAGCCUAAAUUUCAUAUAUUCCAGUAUAUUUUUUUUAUGGAAGAGGUAACAAUUUUCUUGUGGGAGAUUGUUAGUACAACUGAGCUAAUGGCAUCAUGCACGGUAGAAAAAACGGGGGGCCCUGGCGUGGCGUCCCUGUAGGAAAUGGGGAACGUGUGCCACGCCACACAUGCACGCGUGCGUGCUUAAUUUCAAGGGAAUCAAAUUCUGCACUCGUCCGGCUAGUCUCACUCUCACACCCGACCAUCAUCAGCGAACUAAUGAAGCGAACUUUUCAAGGCCACGCACAUGUAUAAACCGCUUGAGAACACACUUGUACUAAUGAGUUCUCUGUCACAUGAUCCAACAGAUGGUGAUCUCGGCCACGACGAACGACGAUACGAUACACUCGCUACGGUACUACCUGCAGAGAUUCUUGACCUGCUGCCAUUCGUUUCUCGCGCUGGCACGCAGCCUGGUCGUGAUCCUGUGUGCUUUUGCUUGCAGAUGGCGGUUUGAGAUCCUGGAGAUCCAAAUCCUCUCCGCGAUUCUGGUAGUCGUAGGGAGGCUCAGGCUCGCGCGCGCGCGGGGCCUCGCCUCGCACGCCCCUCGAAGCGCGCACGCCAUUGUUGCGUCCCCGCGACUUCCACCGCAGGCAGGAGGGAGAGGGACCGAGGGAGUAGUGCCUGCACCAACUCCCUGGGGGCCGCGGCCAACCGCAGCGCGACGUGUGUCCACUCCGACACGGCGGGCGGGGAGGAGUAAAGAAACCGGGCAGCGCGGGCCACGACCCCACGAAACACCGACGAUUAGUUUAGGUCUUGUUGGAAGUGCCAAAUUAUUGUUACAGUACUGUAUCAUACUGUAGUAUUUCAUUUGUAUUUAUGAAUUAUUGUCCAAACAUUGACUAAUUAGUUUUAAAAGAUUCGUCUCGCAAAGUACAACAAAACUGUGCAAUUAGUUUUUAAUUUCGUCUACAUUUAGUACUUCAUGCAUGUACCGCAAGUUUGAUAUGAUAGGGAAUCUUUUUUUUGCAUAGUGUCAAAGUUGGCAGUGGAGGGUGAACUAAACAAGGGCUUAUAUGCGGCCGCUACGCUACGUACUCCAGCCGGGACAGAAGGAAUCCGGCCACACCUUCAAAAAAAAAAACCAGGAACCCGGGCACCGAGCGAGCCCUUGACCAAGUCCACGCGGUCCAGACAAGCCCACUGGCCAUUGGAAAAUUCGACCCCACAGGAAAUCCUAAGCGAUGUAAUCAUCCAUAUGUGGGUCCAAGACAUGAUUUUUUUGGCUGUGAACACUGCACAGCAACUCGCGAGAAUCUUUUCCCUCAGCCUUUUUUAUCUGUAGGUUUUGGGAGCACCGAGAGGAGGAAAAAUUGGCUUAAGAUGGAGUUGUUAUUGGGUAUGCGGAAAAGUAGGGAACGAAGUUGGACAACUGUUGGAGCUUUGGUUUUUCACCUUGGUUACCAAAACUAGUCAUUGAAAUCAUAUACCGGGCACUCUUGGAGAUGCUAUAACUGAUGAUCUAGUACAUAUAUCUUGAACAUUAUUUUUUUUUAAAAUCUGGUCGGUAGCAGUUAAACUAAUUGUCUAAACCAAUUAUCUAGUACCUAAACCAAUUAUUGUCUCGACCACCUAAACUAAUUGUUGUCUCUUGCACUGUAUCUUCCAGAUGGUAAAAGUAAAUAAAAAAAAUGAAAAUCGGGGUUGGUGGGGUAAAGUGCUCAUGAGACAAAGAGCAUCGUGGGAGGUGAGGCCGUGCUUUACAAAGCACUUUCUCGGGUCGUUCGCAUCUACGACUGUGAGGCCCUGAGAAUUGAAGCGCCCUUCCUCUCUGACACCACCACAAGCUAGCAGAGCUGUAGAGCCAGCUUCCCAGUCGAGAUGGCCGAACUGAUGGCGAGCGCCGCCACGAGCGUGAUGGGGUCCGUCAUCGGCAAGCUGACUGCCAUGCUCGGCGACAAGUACCAGUUCGCCAGAGACGUGGAGCAAGGGAUCCGCUUCCUGAAGGAUGAGCUGAGCAGCAUGGAUGCCGUGCUGCAGAAGCUCGCAGACAAGGACGACGACCAAAUGGAUCCAAUGGAUAAAGAUUGGAGGAACAAGGUGCGUGAGCUAUCCUUCGAUAUUGAGGAUUGCGUCGAUCGCUUCAUGCUCAAUCACAGCCAUGGAGGUUCCAAGGCUAACUUUGUUCGCAAAGCCGUGCGUAAGGUGAAGAUGUUGUGGGAGGACCAGGGCAUAGCAGGGGAGAUCCAAAAACUCAAGAAACUCGUGACAGAGCAGAGUGACCGGGCCAAACGCUACCCUGUGGGAAUGCGGUGCGACUCACCUCAGCCGGUGCGCUUGGAUCCUCGAGCAACUGCCCUCUUUUCAGGAGGCGAGGGAUCCUGUGGGAAUUGAUGGUCCUCGCGAGGAAAUCAUCCAGCUAUUACAAGUUGAAGAAAAGCAGCACAAGGUGGUGUCCAUCUAUGGUACCGCUGGGCAGGGGAAGACUACUCUAGCCAUGGAGGUAUACCGAAAAAUCCCACAAGCAUUUGAUUGCAGGGCUUUCGUGUCUGUAUCUCAGACUCUGGACCUGAAGAAGCUACUCAGAGAUAUAUUGUCUCAAAUAGUAAGCAAGAGCGAGUUUGACCAGUUGCAGUCGGAAAGGUGGGAGACGGAGCAGCUCAUGCGCGAAAUGAUAGACUACUUAAUUGGCAAGACCAGAAUUACUUUCUUGUACUAUAAUAAUUAGCCAGUUCAUCUAGCUAUGGCAAUGUUGUGAGGUCUUUGUCGAUCACAUGAGCUCACCUAAUUUAUCGGCCAUUUUACGGUUGUAUUUUACGGACCCAUUCGAGCAUAAAACUACCACAUAUGCAUUUGUUACAUGACUUCAGCUGUUCAACAUAUCUACCAAAAGCCAUCGCUAAAUAUCUUACAACAAGGUCAAGUCAACUGCCCAUGAAUGUAGGCGUAUGUGGUUGGAGUUGGCCUGUACUAUUGUGCGCAAAUGAUAUUUGAGUAGAAAAUUAUUUACUCUAUACCAUCAAAUAAUUCCAGAUUCAGUAAAAUUAUUUCUUGAUAACUUCAACCAUGUUUGUUUCGUAUAGCCAUUCUAAAUAUCCAUAAAAAUCUUCUUUAAUCCGUCUCUUUACUUUUCUCCAAUAUCUUUCACCAUGAUAUGCUCUAUAUGUUGAAUAGUUAUGAUGGCCUCGUAACAUGAUUCCUCAACCAAUGCAUGCAGGUACUUCAUCUUGAUUGAUGAUAUCUGGAAUGUAUCAGAUUGGGAGCUUGUACAAGCUGCCUUACCUCGCAAUGACAACGGAAGCAGAAUAAUUACUACAACACGCAGUAAAACAGUAGCCAAAACAUGUGCUGGUACUGAUGCACAAAUGUACAAAGCAAAGCCACUUGGUGAUGACGAUUCUCGCAGAUUAUUCUUUAAAAGGCUAUUUCACUCAACUGAACAUUGUCCCCAAGAUUUGAUGGCAGUAUCCAGUGAUAUUUUGAGGAAAUGUGGGGGAUUACCAUUAGCCAUAAUCAGUAUAGCUGGUUUAUUAGCAAACAGAAGCAAAACCAAGGAAGUCUGGGUCAAUGCAUUGAAGUAUAUUUCUGCGGCAGUUGACAAAGAUUCUCACAUUGAUAAAAUGAAAAGAAUUUUUCUGCUUAGUUACUUUGACCUUCCUCUUUAUCUAAGGAGCUGUAUGUUAUAUCUGAGCGUGUUUCCGGAGGAUUAUUUGAUUGAUUGUAGACGGUUGAUAUUGUUAUGGGUAGCCGAAGGACUGAUUCCUGGACAAGGCAGAGAAAAUAUGGAGCAGCUUGGGAGGAGUUACUUGAAUGAGCUGAUCAAUAGAAGCUUGGUCCAACCAACCAAGGUUUGGGCAGAUGGCGCAACAGUUAAAGAGUGCAGGGUUCAUGAUGUCAUACUUGAGUUUAUUGUAUCAAAGGCUGUGGAGGACAAUUUUGUUACUAUAUGGAAUCGUAAUGGGUUUUCUGAAAAUUAUUCUUCCAACAAGAUUCGCCGUUUAUCUAUCCAACAUGACAUUUCUAGGCGGGCUGAAGAGAUGGUGAAGAUAAAAGAACAUGCAGCUCAUAUUCGAUCAAUUAAUAUUUUUGACCCUAAUUCAGUGCUGCUAAUUAAAAACACCUCUAUAUUUUUAAGUAGCCAAGUCUUGCGAGUGCUGAAUAUAGAAGAUCAUGUUUGGGAGGAGUUAGUUGAAGAUUACUGCUAUUUAGGACAUGUCAAAAGUUUUUGUCAAAUGAAGUACUUGAGGUUAAAAAUUUGGAUAUCACUAUGGUUCGAACUCCCAAAAGAUAUAGAAAAGCUGCAACAUCUAGAGACACUAGAUCUUAGGGGUACCUGCAUUGAAAAACUACCGGCUAGCAUUACCCAACUGCAGAGAUUAGUGCGUCUUCUUGUCAGUAUUGAGGUAAAACUACCUGAUGGGAUUGGAAAUCUGCAGGCAUUGGAAGAGCUAUCAUCGAUCAGUUUGGAUUUUCAAACUGUCAAGUUUAUCCAAGGGCUCGGCGAUCUGACCAAUCUGAAGGUACUUGGAAUUAAUUGGAAGCACACUUAUGCAGGAGUACGUCGCGUGGACGUGGAAGACCACAAGGAAGCAUGUAUCUUGUCACUCUCCAAGCUUGUCACAACCCUUCGAGAACUGCAAUUCAUGCAUGAUGUUCCUGAUGACGCACUUUCAUUCAUGGCUUCGUUUGCCUCAUCUUUAACUCCACCACCCCUUCGGAGGCUCGUCUUUCACGAAGGUGGUGGAUCAAGUGUCGUGCCCCAUCAAAUCAUCAGCUCGCUAGUCAACCUGACCCACCUCAAUAUUGGACUAGUAAGCCAGGAAGGGAUAAAUAUCCUAGCAAGUUUGCCCAUGCUCCUCUCUAUUACUGUUCGCGUUUCCUUUGAAGAGGGUAGUUCUGGAAUCAGGUAUACAAUCAGCAGUCAAGGAUUCCAGCGUUUAGUCAAGUUUAAUUUCGACUGUUUUCAUGAUGGGGGGGGCGUUGGAGUUUGAGCCAGGAGCCAUGCCAAAGCUCCAAAGGCUCGAGCUGUACCUGGUGGCACGGGGUCAGUUCAAUUAUGAGCAAGGCGCCCUCGUCCUUGGGCUGCAGAAUCUGGCAAGCCUCAGACAUGUUGCUCUUGGUAUUAACUGUUAUCCAGCUACUCCUGAUGAGGUGCAGGAUUUGGAGGAUGACAUCAGGGUUGCAGCAGGCGCCCAUCCCAACCGUCCCGUGGUCCAGCUGGUCGGAAAACUAAAUGAACAUUGGAUGACUUAGGGUGCAGCAGGCACCCAGCUACCUAGAAGCACAAUGACCAAGUAAAUGCAUGGUGUGGAGAAUAAAUAUCAUUAUCAAUGAUGAUCUUUUUUUCUGUUUCAAGAGCACGUUGGAAUUAAACAAGGUUAAUUCGAUUUGUUUUCAUCUUAGUUUUUGCUUUAUGACAACAUGUGUGCGCAUGCAGAUUGGCCUCUCGAAUCUAUGGAGUGCUGAUAUGUGUUGCUUGAUAUGAUGGUGUUGUGUUGAGGUGGGUUUGGGAUGUGUGCUCGGAGCGAAGGCAUUUGCCCUUCGCCGGGCCAACGAUGCUGACGCCUGUUGGUGCCACAUCCCUCUCUAUUGACUAUGAAGGACUGACUACGUUAAGCUCUUCCUCCAUAUAUGGAUUGUAGGUUGCUAGGUAGUUUUGAGACGUAUGUUGAUUUUAAAAUCUUAUGUUGUUUAUCACUUACUGGAUCUGUUUCUUCUUUCUUUCUUUUAUAUUUCCUUUUGAUAAGGUUGUGUGUUGUUGCAUAGGUGGCUGGAAUCUAAGCUUUGUUCAUCCAAAAGAAGAUGAUAUAAAACAACCAGAAAGAAACAAGGGGGGGGGGGGGGCGGUUAAUCUCCUUCCAAGGGGAUUGGAGGGGAUUUUGACUGGUAUGGGAUGUUUUGCAGGAGGAUGUGCACCUCAACAUAAGUAAUAUGGAAUCUGUGGGUACACUUUUGGCAACAUAUCUUCAAACCACAUUCUAUGCAACAAUAAUCUUGUGCAAACCAUACAUAGCUAUGCCCACCAUUUCUAGAACGAUGUUCAAUAGACUACCAUAUGCAUAUGAACGCGCACGAUGGAUAUUAGACACAAAACAUAGUAGUAGUAUAACUUGCACAAAACUACAUUUAUGAUCUUUUGUAUUUGAGCCAGGAAGUUCUUUCAAAACAUAACCCACAAGAAAGCACGCACUGGUCUUGUUGUGCACUACACGUUAGGUGUUGCAAUUGCAUAUAAUCUCUUUUAUUUAUUUAGUUUGAACAACCGUGCAUGGCUAGGCACUUCCGAAAGUCUUCACUUCAAGUACUUGUCAAACCAGUCCAUCAUUAGACCAAGAGCUUGCUCAACAGUUUUGACAGCAAAAGGGUCGGUGGUAUUAUAUCUGCAAGCAAAUCCAUGUGCAACUCCUGGAAAGACCUUGGCGUAGUAGGGAAUCUGCAAACAACCAAUGCCACAAAAAUGAGCUUUUCCAACUGAUAUAUAGUAUCCUCUAUGACGGAAUCACUAGGAACUCACCUCUGUUCUAUGACGCAAUACACUCACAUACUGGUACACUAGUUUUGGCGGUGCGACUUCGUCAUAUUGAGCUCCAAGGAUCUCGAUUGGACAUUUAACCUCUGUUUUGAAUGGUCAUAUAGUUAGCAUACGAAAUUAAGCACUUAAGUUCAGUUCCAAAGACAUCUCAAUCGAUGCUGUCUGGGAGGUUGCAAACACAAAGAAAAGGAGCAAACCUUUCAUGUCAUCAGUAGUCACAAUGUAAGGAUGAGAAAUGGAAACUACUUUAACAUCACUGGUUUUCCCCAUCUCUACACUAAACUUUCCUGUCAGUUACGCGGCAAUAGGAGAUAAGAAUUUUAUGCUCUGUAUGUUGCCUGAAGAAGGAUUUUGGAAGCUGGAAUUUCACUCACCACCCCAGCAAUAACCUCCCACCCCGAUGGACUUUCCUUCCUUUUUGAAAGCAGCAAAGAGUGGCUUGGCGUCUUUGGCAGCUUUUACCUGCCAGAUCGAUCGGAUACUCAAAUCAAUAUAUUUUCAACUCAUGAUGCAAUGAGCAUAAGAUGAAAUUUGAAAGGGACAUGGAACAGACCUGGGAGUGGAGCUUGAUCCACUCUGAAAUGUUUUUACUUGAGUCUAAAUAAUCUCCAUUGAAGAAAUCAGGCACCACAACAAAGUAUCCAGCCUCGCUAACUUUAUCGGCUAUCUGUCUGCAUCAUUAAAAGAUCAAGAAAGGGAUGAACAAUAGCUAGUACAGAGAGGGAUUCUUGCGUCGUUGUACUCCAAACAAAAUGCAAUCUAUCUCAUAUGAGAAUUAACUUUCACCGGAUUGUCUUUUUUGGGAAAAAAAAACUGUACUGUAUUUUACUCUGUACAGAAGCACAAAGCAUUGUUAUGUUUUUUAAAAAAAGAUAGUCAAAUAAAAUUUGCUCUAGUUCUUCAAAGUCUCUAAAAUCAUCUGUUGAUAUUUAAAAGCAUUUUGCUAUGGUUAUGAUUGCGUUGCUACUUGCUACAAGCAUCAUAAGGGAGUACUAAGCAGGAAAAAUCGAAAGCAUGCCAGCCGAAUGAUCUAGUUCUUCAAAGUCUCUAAAAUCUGGAGAGAUGCUAGUUGACCAAGAACAGAGCAUUUUGAUCUACGAUAGUAAGCCAGAGUAGAGCAAGAAAGAACACAAAAUUUGGGAAUUAAAAGACCGUAGAUAUAUUUAUGUAGGUGCCUCGAAUCCUGAGAAAAUCAAUCAAAAAGUGGAGAAAAAUUUCCUGUCAAAACGUACGCCCAAAUUGACUAGAAACUGCAGAAGUGUAGUACUACGGUCGAAACACCAACCGAAAACAUCGGAGGCGAGGACGAUGGCGUGGCUUGAGCUUGCGGCUGAAGGACCGAAAGGGCGAUCAGAGGGGGGUGAAUGGGAACCUAUAAAAAUUCUCAACAAGAACAAGGCCUAUGUCCCAAAUACAACCCCAAAGCACACAACACGUUGUAUCGUCAAGAUGACGCAAGUCAACUCGUGACAAGCUCACCCUAGGAACGAUACACGUAUCAUAUCAUGACAAAUCUCAUGAUUUUCAGACUUUGCUUGCUUUUUUUACAAUUUAAAAAUCAUUCGGUCACACGUUCGUGAUCGUGUUUCCUGAACAAGAUGUUUGAAAUUUCUUUUUAUUUCAUGGGUCAGGUCUCAAAUUGGGUUAAAUAAUAUGAAUAUCAUUUUUCUACUCAUUUUAUUCUAUAAUUUGAAUCACUUGCAGUUCAAAUUUGACUUAUACCAAAAAUUUCCUUUAAAUACAAUUAAUUAAUUAAAUAUAGCAAACAAAUUCAAAAAUAUACCAAAUUUUAACAUGGAGUACCACAUGUUGUAUGUGGGGAGUAGAAAAAAUCUCAAGGUUAAAAGGGAAAAAAAACUUAUUAUUUGUCGAGUGUCAAAAAAACACUCGGCAAACCCCCCUCUUUGCUGAGUGUUUUUUUCUUGACACUCGGCAAAGUCCCUCUUUGCCGAGUGUUUUUUUUUGACACUCAGCAAAGCUCCUUGUUUGCCAAGUGUUUUUUCUUUGCCGAGUGUUUUUAGCUUGGCACUCGGCAAAGAGCUUGUUGCCGAGUGUCGAAAAAAACACUCGGUAAAUUUGCGGUUUCCGUAGCGAGAGUAGUUUACAAAAUCAGGCAUCAUGACGCAACAAUCAAUGAAAAUCAAGAAGCAGAAAUAUGACAGUUAUUUUGAGUAGUUUUUAACAUGAUCAUCUAAAGUUUGUCUCUUUCAUUGGCAUAGUUGGCCACUUCCUCGUCCGAGGCCACCAUUGAUCAUGCAUUCAUGCCUAGGGAAAUCCGGCCCAAGUGUACAGUCCAAUAGCCCAUAUGCAAAGAAAAUCCGAAUCGACUAAACCUACUGCGAUCCUAGCCGCCUCCGAUCUCCGAGAGGAUCCUCAGCAUGUUGCUGCACUGUUUGUAAGGGCGCUUUGCUUCACCCUACGGGUUUGGUGCAUAAUUCUCGAGCUGCAAUGUUCAAGUUUGCACAAAGAACGAGCACAUAUGCGAUGUAGCGGGGUGUGUAUUCACCUUAAAUAGAGGGCAUAUUUUAAAGUGUGUGGGAUCCAAUAUUGGUCAACUUGACAAGAACAGAUAUUCACUGCUGUGCAAAUUUUUUCCAUCUGGAUGUACGAAAAUAUUAUUCUUAUUUAUUUAUUCGAAACAGUCAUGUGCAGAUAAGACAUGUCUUCACUACAAGUAUUUGUGGAACCAGUCGAGCAUGUAAGCAAGAGCUUUUUCAGCGCUUUUAACAGCGAACGGGUCGGUGGUAUUGUAUCUGCAAGCAAAUCCAUGGGCAACUCUUGGGAAGAUCUUGACAAAGUACUCAAUCUGCAAGAGAGGUAAUGUCAUAUAAACGGGUGAGGUUCUGCCAAGAAAAAUUCACAUGUGCAGGUGCAUUGGUAUUGAGUGCCACUAAACCCAGCAAGAAGCCAAGAAACUCACAUCCAUUCUUUCACGCAAUUCUUGCUCGAACUGACGCACUUGUUCCUGCGGUGUGAUUGUGUCGUUUUGAGCUCCAAGGAUCUCAAUUGGCCAUUUGACCUCUGAGUUUUAAGUGAGCGCAGUUAGCACACGAACAGAAUACUAGUCAUACACAGUGUGCCUAAUAAGUAUGGUAAGAAACACACACCUUUCAUAUCAUCAACAGUCACAUAUGCAGGAUGAGAAAGGACAACUACUUCUGUAUCGUCAGUUUUUGCUAUCUCGGCGGCAAAUUUUCCUGGCAAAUAAUCAGAAAAAAGGUAGAAAUUAGCAUGUUUUAUGUCUUGCCUGAAGAAGAAUAUUGAAAAAUAAAAUUCCAGUAGGGCCAAGCUACUGAAUUGUAGUGAUUGCUGUCGAUUUCACUCACCCCCCCAGCAGUAACCUCCAACCCCAAUAGAUUUUCCUUCGUUUCUCAAAGAAGCCAAGAGUGGCUUGGCAUCUUGAGCAGCUGUGACCUGUAGGAUCGAUCGACAUUGCAAUCAAUUUAUUUGCAACUAAUGAUGCAAUGCAAGAUUUUGUUAAAGAUUCGUUAUGUUAUCAUUUGACUAGAAAUUGAAAUUAAUUAUCCCCGGUGAACAUGAACUUACUGGGGAGUGAGAUUUGAUCCAUUCUGAAAGGAUUUUACUGUCGUUGUAAGGAUCGCCGUGGAAGAAAUCAGGCACCACAACGUAGUAUCCUGUUGCGGCAACUUUAUCGGCUAUGUUUCUGCAUUAUUACACAAGCACUGGUACUAAUUAUAUUUUAACUAGCGAACAAGGCUGAAGUGCCAUGUCAUUUUAGUUUCUAAAACAGAGCCGAACAUCGUUUAAACAACUAAAUUAAAGUAGAUUGCCGCGGUAACGGCCUCUCUGCUGCUUUGGUCAGGGAUUUAUUUACUGGUAACUGGUUUAAAUUACUAGAAGUUUGAGCUGAAAUCAUUUUGAAAUAAAAUUGGGCCUAUUUUCUCGGUUUGUAAGUGUUUCUGAGAGGCAAAGCAAGCUGCCAUGUUUGAUGACAGACCUAUCCAUACCAGAACUACAAUCAAGUCUUCCAAAAGGCUAAAACUUCAUGUUUCCAGUCAUUAGUGCAAUAUAGUGUUUCAAUAAUGUGAGUGUAAGUAGAAAUAUAAAAAAAAACCAUACAUUGCCCAAACAAAAAACUCCAGUUCAUCAAGCUGAAAACAGCUGACUACACCAUGGAGCUUCCUAUGUGUUUUACUAGUUUUUGGGAAGCAAGGAUAUCCCUGUGUAUAAUCUCUUUAUACUUGUUAUUAAGUCACAAAAGUUUCAUCUUAAUGUUUCUAUCUGAUUCUAUUUCCAUCUUGUUUUUAAAUAAAAAAUCUCAUGUUCUACCAUGUUUCAGGAAAGGAAACGUUCACUUAUCAACUCUUAACUAUUGCCAUGCUCUGUUUUUCAUCUCAUUGUGCCUGUCCGGUUUUCAAUCUCCAACUUUAAAACUUUCUAAAAGACUACCUUCAACUCAGAACAAAACCAGGGUGCUUUUGGAUGAUGUGGCCUGGUUUUGUCUGCUGGUGUAUGCAUGUGUACAAGUAGUACACUGAUCAGUACAAAACAGCAAGCAAAAUACAAUAACUGCUGGGACAAUAUAAUAUAACAUCCUCUAAUUUCCCUUCUUCCACCUCUCUCUCCCCCUCAAAUUAAUUUUUUAGCAACUUCGUUCAUCAGCAUACUAGGAUUCCAUCAUUUCUUUGGGAAUCGCGUUGUUUCCUAUAUUUUUGUGCUGUAUUAGAAAUCGUAAGGAACUUGAAUUCAAGAACUUAAAACCAUUUUUUAUACCUCAGUAUAGGUGCCUCGAACCCUGAAGAAUAUUUGUCGAAAGAACAGAGAAUAUAUUUCAGUCAGACAAACCACAAAAAUAACCAUCAACCAAACUGAACGUAAAUUUGCACUAGAGGAGUGUGAAGCUGGCCGGCUGGACCAACCGUAGACAUCCGAGGCGAGGACGAUGGCACGUAUGGACAUGGAGGGGCCGGUGACAUAGGCCCUGAACCCCCCUGGAAGGUCGUCUACAACCUUGCCAGCUUCAACGCCGCGCAACGACAGGUCCGGCGGGUUGUCGAGGCACUGCGAGUGCUCGUCGUGAACGGUCGCCGCCGCGACUAGCACCACGGCGAGGCAGAGGAAGAGCAGUGCGGCGGAGCUCAUGGCGCUUCGACAGGAGGUUCUCUUGCUAGGUUGUCUCCACCGCUGCUGCGUUGCGUUUGUUUAUAUAGCACGAGGGCCGACGGCAUGGUAGGCUAGGUUGCCUCCACGUCGCCGUCCGGCGGCCGGCUGCUUUUUCUACACGAAAGCGAGCGGAACGGAAGCUGAAAGCGCUCGAUGAAUUUGAGUGAAAUACUCCAUGUGGUAUCUCUGGUGUACAGUUCAUGUACUACCACUAGCCUUUAUAAGCCCUCCUGUAGUUCUGCUCUUAGGUGGUCCAUUAAGCAAAGGAUUUGAGCCCUUGGACGCGAAGCUCCUCGCCGAUCUAUCUCUUGUUUCUACGGCAAAAGUACAUGGAAGGCUAUAACUUUGGCCGUGAUUAGGACAUCAAUAUGAGUUCUGACUUUAGGUCGUCUGACAAAAAAUAUGAGGAAUUUUUGUAAGAGGGGGUGUUUGGUUUCUCGAGCUAAAGUUUAGUUCGUGUCACAUCGAAUAUUCGGAGGCUAAUUAGGAGAACUAAAUAUAAGUUAAUUAUAAAACUAAUUGCACGUAUAGAGGCUAAACGACGAGAUGAAUCUAUUAAGCCUAAUUAAUCCAUCAUUAAAGCAACACAUUGUCAAAUCAUGGACUAAUAAGCUUAAUAGAUUCGUCUCGCCGUUUAGCCUCCACUUAUGUAAUGGGUUUUGUAAAUAGUCUACGUUUAAUACUUCUAAUUAGUAUCUAAACAUUCGACGUGACGGAGGCUGAAGUUUAGGGUGAGGAGCCAAAAACCCCGGAAGUUUAUGGUUCGUUCGUUGACAUUUGUGGCAAUGCUGUCCUUCCAGGCACAUUGACAUUUAUAUUUCGUACAUAACUAGCAAGAUGGAGAUGGCCCGACGCAAUCUGUGUGGCUAGUUUUAGUACCCUUCAAUGCAAAUUCUCAUUUUUUUCCUCAAGCCAAAUUAAGUAAAAUUUAUUCGAAAACAAUUACACAAAAGGUGCAGUCCCAAUGAAUUCAUGCCGUAAGAAACGAUUUCUCGCGCAGCUUCUGUUUGGCAACUUCCGAUGCCCAUCAGCACAAUGUUGAGUCUACGGCGCGCGCUGCAGCGCCCCGCGGCGCACGACGCGGAGGGUGGGUCUCAUGUGACCCCUAUUUUAAGUACAGGGCUGGAUACCGAGACGUAUCUGACAUGAAAGUUAUAUCACAGGACGGGCAUAGUCUACGUAAUAAGAUAGUAACUUGUCGAGGAUCAGGAAAAGUACUUGUAGCAAUCAGAGUAGGACUCGCCUAGUCGAAUCCGACUAGUAUUCAUGUAAACAAUUGACCUUAACCCUGCCCCCAGCAAUAUAAGGCGAGGUAGGGAUCCUCUCUAAAGUAAUUCAAUCCAAUCAACACACAGGAUGUAGGGUAUUAUGCAAUCUAGCGGUCCGAACCUAUUUAAAUCGUGUGUCUGUGUUCACUUUCGAGUUCCUAAUCUCGGCGAGCCCCGUUAACUAAAACACUACUUCGGGCACCCCCUCGGUGGGUUGCCGGGUCUAAACACCGACAACCCCACCAUGUGCUGGCCCACGCAUUUUUUUUUCUUUUCAAUUAUUUUUUCUAUACCAAAUAAAUAUUGUAUAUACAUAUAAAUUUUGCAUAAUUUUUUUAACAACAUUCUCUCAAAAGUUAUGACAAAUAUUAUGCGUAUAAGUUAUGUAUAUCAUGAAAGUUGUAUUACGAAAUUUAUCACCUAAAUUGUUGUUAUGAAAAAAGUUAUGCGUACAAAUUGUGCAUAUAGGUUACAGCUUUCUAAAAACACUAGGAUCGUGCCAGUGCGUUACUACGGGCAACAAAUAUUUAUAUUGAAAUACACAUAGUAACUUGCAACAUCAAUCCAAAACAAGACAUUCAACACUCCAUUUAUGGGUUUAACGUACUUUCCAAUUAUAUUGUUCUGUUAUAGUCUCAGCUGUGAAUUUAAUGAGCUAGAAAUCAAGCUUUCUUUUAAGUUUCACGGAUUUCAGACCGAGUUGAGUUGGACUACCUUUUGCUCAAACUGUGAUUGUCCCUAUAAAUUAUUUUAAUUAAUCUGUUUGAUAUGCAACUCAAAAGAAUAGAGCUAAUAUAUGUACUUAGCAUGGCCAUCCUGUUAAACAUAAUUGUUGCCAUGAAAAUAAUGCAUUAUGUAUUACUCCCUAGCUACUUUGUAGUGGUCAAUAUCAAAUAUCUUCUUGACGACCUGACAGACUAAGUGGCCAGAUGGGAUGAUCUUCAGUCCAUCCGACAACGAAAUUUUAGAUCUAUUGCCAUUAGCAAUAUAUAGGCUUGGCAUAUCUCAUGCAUUCACAAAGAAAUCUGGACUGUAUAAGAGUACCUUCCUUGAAUGAUCCACUGAGCGAUUAUUACUUGUGCCAUGCAUUCACAAAGAAAUCUGGACUGUAUAAGAGUACCUUCCUUGAAUGAUCAUUACUUGUUCAACCUGCUUAAAGAAAAUGAUUAUUUGGCCUAACAGUAAGGUUACAACACGAAAAUAAAGCUAACAAGUUGGAGGUAAAUUCAGUUAGGAAAUUUGAGAUGCCGUAGAUUUAGGUAAUUGUAAACUGAUCAAUCCUCAGGUUGGAGACAACUACUGUGCAAUUCAGGUAAUUGUAAACUGAUCAACUACCAAUUGUUCAGAUGCCGCAGAGGUCCAUCUAGCAGUCAGGUAUUUUAGUCCAUCUGACCACAAGAAUGAAACUCACCUGGAGCCCUGGGUGACAGCGUCCCCGUUCUCGUGCUCCUGGCGGCACGCCGACAGGGUGGCGUAGGCGUUCACCUCUUGACCAGCGCGCUAGGCCUUGACCUCUUGAUGUUCAAUAUCUAGGUCUGACUGUAAAAAAGAUCAAUAGAUAUAUUAGAUAUAUCGGUGUUGUCAUUACAUUACAAUGGUAAUCUGAUACCUUACAUGCAUACUCUGACAUGUAGUUUGUAGCAUUAGGCUUAUAAUAGUUCUCCAUCAAUAUUAGUGGGUCAUAAAACUGAUAAAAAUGGAGAUUAAGGAGUACUGCACACUAUCUUCAGUAUAUAUAAAGAACAUGAUAAUCUGAAACUUCCCAACUGAACAUCAUCGCUGACUGAUCAAGUUCGUUACUGAAUCAUAAACUAUGAAUGUGAGGCCUGUGUCUCUGAAGCAAGAUCGCUACACAUCAUUGCUGGCUGAAACCAGUCAAUCAACAGAGUCUAGCACAUGGGAAAAAAAAAGCAAAGAGUAAUAACUUGGUGAAUAACAAAACAUCGUCAGAAAAGAAGAAAAGAAAAAGGAGCGGAUGAAAUUCUUAGCAGAACAAUAUAAUGUAUGGAAUACUCCAUCAGUGUACUUUCAUCAUGGUCGACAUGUUCAAUACAUAAGCAUUUCCAUGUCUCGAUUUUAUCAGUCUAGCUCGUAUUUCACUCACAUAAGGGGAUUUUUUACCAAGCAAAAGCAGCAAAAGACCAUGAAACCUUAUUAUUACUGACAGGAUAUGAAAAUACCAUAUGUAUGUGGGGAAAAGGAUGCAGACUCCAAAUUGGUCCCUGCCAUGAGCUGUGUAGCCACCCAGCCAUCCCCAUAUAUUUUCUUCAGGUUUGAACACAAUACUGGUUGCUGCACUUCCCAGGAUGGGUACUUGUGGAGGCCAUGCUAAUUAGCGAUCAAUACCUGUUGCCUGCACGAACAUAAUCCCAAGCUUUAAAAAUGAUAUUUUCAUAAAAUUGAGUCAGAAGCAGGUCUAUAUAAAAAAUGUGUAACUGACGUACAAGUGAUUUGCUUGGCUAAUGCAGGGAGCCCAUGUAUGAUAGCGAAACAAAAUUAUAGCACUUUGGAAUUGUGCGUUACAAUACAUGAAAAACAAUUAUAGUACAUGCUCAUGCCUUCAUCGAAGACAUUCUCGUGCCACUUAGUUUUUUUAGGAGAGAUUGAAAGCACUAAGAAUAUUUUUCACAAAGUUUAGUACUUAAAACUUCCAAUUGAUAAAUUUCAGCAAUCUUGGUAACAAUCGCUCUUCCAAAUACUAUUGUACUGUUAGUUGACCAUUGUGCCCUAAUAGUUAAACUUCCCCAUAAGACCAUAGUAACAGCAAGUAAAUAAACAUGCAUGUAAUCUUUCAUUGUGGCCAAAACUCCUUGAAUUCUUAAAAAAAUGAUUGGCUCUGAUGUCACACCCGGUUUUAAAACAAAACCAAGUGCUAUCUAUAUGUAUGUCAGGAUCUAGUUUCAUAUAUUGUAACAUCAUUAGUGAAUAACAACAACAGUAUCACGUAAAAAGAUAAAAAAAAAGACUUACAAGACUAUCAGAGACACACAGCUUAAAUAUUGGAAACGUAGGCUCCAAACUUCACAGGCACUCAACUGGGGGUUGCGUACGCCUAGAACUCAGCACCAUCUUCACAAUGACUUCAUAGCAGCUUCAUCUUCUAAGCAACGUUGAUUAUAGCAAGGGUGAGCACAUGUCGUACUUAACAAGUGUGGGGAAGAUAUGAAUGCAAGGUUUAAACAAGGAAAGGCUGACUGGUUGACUGCAUUAAGCAUUUUUAGUUGGUCAAAUUUUAUUAGCACCUGAUUACUAAGGUAUAAGUAUGUACCAACCCACAAUUAAGCAUAAAGCACCAACAUUAUCCAAGGAACCAUAAUUUAUUCUCAUCUUUAAGUUCAAUUAUCAUGUGAGGGUCCAGGCCAUUCUUAACUGUGAGCACGGCUGAUAUAUCAGUUUUACACUCUGCAGAGGUUGCACAUCUUUGCCCACAAGUCGUGUAAAAGUUCAAAAGAGCUUUAGACCCAAUCAUGCUGUGCUGAUCAGGCACAAUACUACACUUCCGAGGUGUGAUUGCAUAGGAACGCUACAAGGCCUUUAUAAAGAUUCUCAAGUAAGUGGUAACCCGCUAAGGUUUUCGGAUCAGUAGUGUGCAUAAACCCCUCUCAGGACUGCGAAGCUUCCAUAAAGCAGAUCAGUCUAAGGGGCGGGUUAUACACCAUCAACCGCCACCCCUUUUACCCUUUCGGUAAGAUUACCCCGGAUUAGAGUCUCUAAUUAAUUAGCUAAGAUAAGAGCCACGAUAGUUCUCGUGGUUGUACUGUUUUUCUGGGUGGUUCUCCAUGUUCCGAUUAAAUCAAGUGAUCUUGUAUUAAUACGCGUAUAGCAUAAAUAAAAGUCAUGAUUAAUAUUUAAGUUCAUUAAGAUCAUCAUAACCAAGUAUAGCAGCUAAGCAUAGCUACCCAACAGAAUCAUAAACCUAGGUUGACAAGGAAUGAUUAUAAAAAUUAGGCAAACCUUAAUAGGACCCAUCAAAUUAAAUGCAGGCAUAUGCAAUAGUGAUUAAUAAAGUUAUUGGGACAAAAGCACAAGAACACACUUACUUUUCUCCAACGACAAGUUACUCUUAUUGCUCUUCGGUUCUUGCUCUCUUGAAACUCUUACUCUUCAAAGCUUCUGAACAACGAUCCUUCUACUCUAAGCAAACAUCGGCAACAAACAAACAAGUACAACUUAAAACAAUAAAAAAAAGACUUUAAAAAAGCGUACUAAAGGACAAGGCUUGAUCUAAGGGAGCGCUAAGAACGAAACUAUCGAGACGCUUGAUUCAUAAAAGAAAUAAAGACUAUAUGUUUGUUUCAUGUUAAUUAAAUAAAAUAUGCACAUAGGUUAUUUUAGAGAAAUACCCUAUUUGGAAUUAAGCAAGUUACAUUCAAUUAUUAAAAAUACGGUAAACUUAAUUAUAUUUUAUUUUAAAAUAUUCAAGUACGAGUUAUGUCAAUUUAACAAUUAACUUUAAAAAGAGUAUAAGACAUCCAAUCCAAUAACUUUGUAUUUCGUGUUAAACAAGAUUAUUGAAAACACGGUAAACUUGAUUAUAUUUUAUUUAUAAAUAUUCAAACGCGAAAGGUACGGGCUAAACAAGAUUAUAGGGACCUAAACGCGAUUAAUCGUAGACUACAAGGGUUAGCAAGAAAGAUUACCAAGACACAAAGAAUAGAGCCGCGAAAAGCUGAAAACUCGGGGUUAGAUCUGCAAAAGGUCAAGGCUUGGAUUAGAUUGCAAGGAUCUGGAAAGUUUGAGGUUUAUUCUGUGAAACUGCAAGACACAAGAAGGAGCAUAAGAAUUACAGGAUUUUCAUGGGCUUCUUCGCAAAACGGAGCCUUAUCUUCUUCUUCCAGCUCCUGCUCGCUCCGCUCGUGUGGCCGAUCAGAUUAUCGGCGGCGGUUGCUGGCCGGGCCAAGGGGGCAGGGCGCGCGCGGCUGCGGCGGCGGUGGCGCGCCGGCGCAGCAGGCGGCCAGGAAAGCAGCGCAGGCAGCGGCUCGGCGCAGGGGCAACACAGGCGGCGGCGGGCGCGGUUAAGCAGAGGCGAGAAAAGGCGGCGGCGGCGAUUUGAGAGGCGGCGGCGCUUGGUGGGGCGAGGAGGCGGAAAAGGGUGGGGAAAGGGGCUCUGGUGGCGGCGGGGCGUUUUAUAGGGGCGGAGGAGGGAGCUGAGGCGGCGGCCGGCCAUAAAUGGCGGCGAUUUGGUGCGGGCGGCCGUUUCUGAUGGGGAGAGGAAACGAGGGGGCGAGGCGGCGCGUGCGCGGGGGAAGGGGAGCGGGUGCGGGACGUGGAGCAGCGCGGGAGAUGGAGCGGUGCAGAGGACGCCGGGGAGGAGCCGCGACGCGGCGGCGGCCGGUAGAGAUCGAGCAGCAGGAGCGGUCGGAUGAGCGCCUGGCCUGAGGAAGAAGAAAAACCUGCAGGUGGGGCCCACCUGGCAGUGGAAGGGAGAGAGGAGGAGAGAUGGCGGGCCAAGCUGGGCCGGAAGCUGGGCCACGGGGGAGAAAGAUGGGAGUUGGGCCGGUGCAGGGUGGAAAGAGGGAAAGGGAGGUGGGCCUGUGGGAAAGGCCAGAUGGGCCGGGCGAACGGAAAAUAAAAGUGGACCGCGGUCUGGUUGGGCCGAUUUGGGUCGGGCCCAAGGCUCGGCCCAAAAGGAAAAGAAAAGAUAGAUUAUUUUCAGAAAUUAUUUCACGUGGGAAUAUAUAUCCAGAAAAUUCUAGAUAAAUAAUUUAAACCACGAAAAAUAUUCUGAAAAUCCCAAAAAUUUAAGAAAAAAUCCCAUGAGGAAUGUAAAUAAAAUAUUUGGAGCUCAUGAAAAAGGAUUUUAGAACUAUCCCAAAAUUGGAUUAAGCUCAAGAAAAAAAGAGAAUAAAUUCCAGUAAUGGCUGAAAAAUUCUCAGAAGGGUUUAGACAAUGUCUAAAUGCAUUUUUGAAACUUUUUUACUCAAGAAACAUCAAGAUGCAACGGCAUGAAUGCACAGAUAGAAAACAACAACCUUAUUUAAUUCCAAAAACAAAUAAUUAUUUUUCCUAUACUAAAUUUCCUAUGAAGAAAAUAAAUAUUAGGAAAAAUUUAAUUAUAAAAAAUUAUUGUUUAAUUAUUUCUUUUUAAUCAUAUUCUAAAAUUCAAAAAUUUCAAAGGUAUGACAUCUAAGUACUCUAAUGAAACCAGUUUAGAAAAUACAGUUCAGUAACCUGCUCUUAUGAAGACUGCAUAUGAAAAAAAUAGUACCUUCCGAGGGUUACACCUACAUAACAUCAGUGAGAGAUACUUAGCUUCUAGCAUACACAUGUUCAGAAGCAGUUCUUUGCAGGCCAAUAAGGCAUCCAUUAAAAUACUUAGCACCAUGCAUUGCUUUGUGUCAGGUUGUCCCGGUACAAAAUAGAAAAAAAUAUUUUUCAUUUAGCAAACAUGUCAGAGAAGCAAAAUUCAGAAAUGAUGUGCAGUGUCACCAACAGGUCAAAAAAGUAAGGACAAUCUAUAAUUGUGGUCAUGAAAUUAUGCAUCAUCCGCGAACACAAAAGCCAGUCAUCAACUAUUUACAUGGUAACCCUGAAUUAUUUAGAUUUACUUCCUACAUGCAUAAAAAUAAACCUCUCAUGAUUUCGUUGGACAUCACAUAUCAAAAGGGAGAAAAAUGAAACCUAAGACAAUUGAAUCAUAAUGAUUUUUUUCUAUGUGGAAGUAGAUAAUUUCCUUAUCUUUCAGACAGCCACUCCAGAAACUAAUCAUACAAUCAAAUUUAGUUAGAAAUUUAGAGCAUGCUAGCACAGAACAAUAGGAGCUAUGAAUUUACACAUGCUAGCUGUAGAUUGUCUAGAAAAAUCGAAAACCAAAUACUUGAUGCCAGCAGAUCUAAAGAAUCAUUGUGUUUUAGGAACACCCACCGAUCGGAGCAGGCAACAACGGAGCUGCCUUGGGGCCGCCAUCGACUUGGAGCUCCUUGUUGAGCCGCACAGAGAAGGAGCGGCAGCGGCGUCAUCGUGGGGGUGUGUUGAGCGCAGGGAAGGGCCAAUUUUGAUUCUGGGUAGGAUGACGUACAAACGUAGGGCAAAGCGGAUGGGAGGGAGCAAUUUUCCCGUGCGUGGAGAGAAGACUGAUUGAUCCAAGGGUGGAGGCUGUGUUCCGCAUAGAGAACCGUGAAAUGGAGGGCCGAGGUUGCUUGGAGCGAGGGCCAUCGGGCGACGACGGUCAUUUGACGGACCAUAGAAACGUUGCCCGUUUGGUUUUUUAGGAGUAGAGAAAAUUCGAAGUUAUUCUUACAAAUUGUACCUAAAAGUUGUACACCUAAUUUUUGUGCGCUAUUGAAGUUGUGCUAAAAAGUUAUCUCAUAAAAAAUUAUAUUAUAGAGUUAUGCAUCGUAUUUAUAUGUAUAAGUUAUGAUUUCCACAAAUGGAAAGUUGUGGGAUUUAAAACUUUCCCAAAAUGGAAUGUUUGGGGGGAAGGAAGGAGCUGUCUAGAUUCGCUCGCCAGGAGGGCUCCUAGUGCGCGAGCGCUAAUUAGCACUGCGCGCCUAUCAGCAUGUUAUUUUUUAAACAAACUGGGCAGGAGAGCUGCCGAUUAUAUUAAAAAGAAGAUGAAACCCGGGCAAUACAACUAAUGGAAAAAAAUAACGAGUUGAAUUGGGACAUCAACACACGUUGAACUCAACUCAACUAACGAAACAACUCAUGCCGAUUCGAUUGAGACAUCGACACGAGUCGCAACAACUCUAACUAGUCAGAUUGGGAUAUCAACACAGGCCGCACAACGUCAUCACACCACUCAACUCAAACUUAGCACCACCACCACCACCACCACCAAGAACUCUUCCGCAUUCUUGGAGAUCCAGCCCCACUUCCAACUCUUCUGCAUGUUCUUCUGUGUCAAGCCGUAGCCUAAGAGGGAGCACACAGUAGUCGGAGGGGUUGGAAUCCAAAUGAGGGAGAAGGUGAAGGGCCUCUAUUUGGAGUACGAGUUGAUUGACUCGCAUUCUGGGUGGAAAGAGAGGUGGUGCUAUAUUGGCAACUAUGAGCCCAAACUCCCUAAGGUGACAGGCCACCGCCCGACGUGGAACAAUAGGUGGCUAGAUGUGCCAAGUCACAGAGAUUAUUUGCAACUACCUGACCUUCUUGAUAGAAUUGCCAGAUUGAAACAAUAAGGUCUAACGAGAGUUGGGGUAGCCUUCAGCUUCAUAAAGAGGCGAGGUAAGCCCCUGCAAUUGCGGUGCACAUGGGGCUACGACUACUUGAGCCCCAAUGAUCCAUCCCGGAUGUCACCAAAAGAACUCACCAUGGAUGAGAUCAUGGAGCAGUUCAGGUGCUUGUUCAAGCAUGCCAGCAAGUGCCUGUUCAAGCAUGCCAACAAGACCCCAACGAUUGUGCAGGAUCAUUGCACUGCCAACCCACCAAGCAAUGUAAGUACCCGUGGCCACAGCCCUCAAGUACUAAUUGUUGUAUCUAUUGAUGUUCUGACUUGUCUUCCUAUGCAGGAAGAUGUACACUUGUUUUGCUCUGCUCCUCCUCCUCCUGGAUCAAAUGACUCUGAUGCCGCUCCACACGUACACACGGCUACAAGUGUAUAGAGAGAAGUCGAGGGGGAGUAAAAGGAAAUUGAGUCUUUCAGCAGCUCCUACUCUGAAGCUACUAAAGAAUUCAUGCUCAAAGCCCGGCCAUUAGACAAGGCUGGGUCUUCCUCCGGGUCACCAAAGCAUGCGGCUGAUGAUCUGGAGGCUAGACUGGCGGCACCGCCAAAGCGACGCUCUGCUCUUGCAGUGUUUCUUGCUCGCCGUUGAGUUUUUUGAGCUUCAGUUUCUUUUCCGACGAUGUUGAUGGUGAGCUUAUCCUACGAGAUGUCAUCUCGGUGACGUUCAUGUCAUGGAUUCCUUUCUUGUUGCUCUUCAUCUUCUCCUUCUUGCGCAUCAACAAGGGUGAAGAGUUCCCGCUCCGGAGAAUAGCUUCCUGAACUUAACGUGAUGACCUCUGUGGAGCCAUCUUUUUUGUAGAUGGGAGACAAAAGAAGUUCCCUUCUAGUACAGGAGGGUAUCAAGGUAGGCAACAAGGUGUGACUCGUCAUUCUUUGCGAGAGCAGGUGGCUUCAUGUUGGCCCAGUAGAUGAAUCUGUCUUGUGGAGUUGAGGUAAUCACAAGGCCUUGUUGUGGGUCUGAUAAUGGAGUCCUCUCAUCCGGAUUCGAGUAGCAGUAAAGGUCCUCGAUCCAAUCCAUGUUGAAUUGUGAUCUGGAUAGGGUAGCUUGAUAGACAAUACCCGUGUUUCGGAGUCCGAACGCGAAUCGACUUGAGUCAUAGACCGAUUCGCAUGAUGGCUUAAGCGCCGGCUCAUGAAAACCAGUCCGGCUAGUGGGAGAAGUUGAGCUGUACUCGGACUAGUCCCCCCAGCCUCUGACUAAGUCAAGAAUUGAAAAUUCGCUGAAUUUCUCGACGAGAUCCUCCAAAGCUUGGCGCUGGAGGUUGAUGGUAUGCUGUUUCUUCUCUACGACCGACACAAUGUGGCGGUGGAAGUUUCCAACACCAUCUGCAACGCAAACCCAGGAGCUGAAGACGAACGUCGCGUCUGCUUUGAACGCGAUGGUGGACUUGAUGAUGACUUGGGCCAUCGAGUUCGUUAGUGGAUUCUCAGCGAGAGCCCUUAUUUCGUGUGCCAGCUAUCGGUGUUUAGACUCGGUAACCUACCGAGGGGGGUGCCUGAGGUGGUGUUUAGUGCGUGGGGCUCACCCAGAUCAGGAACUGGAAGGUGAACUUGAACACAUAAUUUAGACAGGUUCGGGCCGCUAGAUUGCGUAAUACCCUACGUCCUAUGUGUUAGUUGUAUUGAAUUGCUUUGGAGGGGGUCUCCACCUCACCUUAUAUUGCUAGGGGCAGGGCUACAGGUCGUUUGUUUACAAGAAUACUAGUCGGAUUUGACUAGUGAGUCCUACUCUAAUUGCUACAUGUAGUUACUUAAUCCUUGACUAGUUCUUGUCCUCCACGUAGACCACGCUGUUCUGCACCGUAGUCUCCAUGUCUGACACGUCUUGGUGUAUAGCCCUGUAUCUAGGACUGUCCAAACCUUCUAGUGGGCACAUAGAUAUAUGUACAACAAGCACAGUGAAGAUCUAACGAACGCCCACCCGGGAAGGACCCCGUCAGAGUAGGCGCACCUUGGGUUGCCCUAGGCUCGGCAAGAACAACACAUGGGGUUGGAAAAGUAGGGCAAAGAGGAAAAAAGGUAAAAGUAAAAGAUAGAUUAGUUUUUGAUCAGUUGUGGCCCUUUAUAUUUAUAGUGAGGGGAGGUCUUGCCCCGUUGGAAGUCGAAACCCUAACAAAUCUCAUGCAAAAAUACAACUCCUACUCGGACUCUACAGGUCCAAACCGGUCCGACCUAUCUCCUCGGGGGCAGAUAUUCCCGAGGUCAUAACCCUCUCUUCCGAACUUCAAAUUGGACGUUCUAUAUAUGAAUUUUGAUCUACUCAACAAGAGAUACACAAUGGUGAACUCCAAUUUGUAUUUGUAGGACUUUGAUCAAACUGGUCUGACCGAUUGGAAGACCGGUUCAAAAACCUACUUGUCCAGAUCUGCUAAUUUUGACCAUCAAUAGGUAAUAAUUAAGAAAAUAUCAUUGAGGUAAGAAUUAAGAAAAUAUCAUUUCCCUUCUCUCAAAUUUCAUUUUAUUUGUGUGCAUGUGUUACUAAUUUUGUGUGUGUUAUUUCACUACUAUGGAAUGGACCUUUCGUCCACUCCCUUAGUACCGGGUGCAUUUGAAUCCGGUACUAAUAUUAGCAUUAGUACCGGCUCCAAAUUUGGAAUCCCCCGAACCCUCCACCCAGUACUAAAGGUUUCCAUCUACGCGCCUAGCCCCCUUAGUGCCUGUCCUUAUCCUCAGCUCCCUCCGCUCCGCUUCCCUCAUCCUCAUCUUUUCUCCUUCUACUCCCUCUCCCUCUCCAGGCCACUAGCCCCCUCCCUCCCUCCCCUCUCCUCCCCCCUCCACUCGCCCCUUACCUCGUGCCUGAGGCGAGGAGCAGCGGUAGGGUGAGGCGCAGCGGUGGCCAUCGGGGCGCGGCAGGGAGCGGCGACGAGGUGAGACGCGGCGGCAGAGCGGGCACGGAGCAGCUGGCGGGCGGGAGCGCAGCGGUGGCGGAGCGGCGGGUGGGUGGCCAGGGGUAGCGGGGCUGGCGGAGGGCGGCAACGGCGGGACAGGCGGAGGGCAGGGGCGGGUGGGGGGUGCGGGCGGGAAUUUAUUUUUUUUUAAUUUUUUAAUACCCUUUAAUACCGGUUAUCUCAACCGGUACUAAAAGUCCCACUUUAGUAUCGAAUUGCCAGUACCGGUUGGACAAUCGGUACUAGAGGGGUUAUCGACCGGUACCAGAGGUGUUAUCCCUAGUAGUGUUCUUAUAUAUUUGAAAACGGAUGCCGAUUACUGCCGUGCUUUGGUCUGCCAACUAGGCAUUCUUAAUAGUCAACAGGAUUAUUCUGUUUCGUGUGUAGGGGAACUAGCAUCCUAACAACCGUUGGUGGCUUACGGCUUUGGCUUGGCUGUCAAUCAAGCGCCGCUUGGGUCACGACAAUGGCAGUAAGGUCGUGGUGUCUACCAAGUAAAACUACGUAUACAUUCCCUCCGUUCUAGUGCAGAUGUGGGCGUACACAAUAUUAGGCUAUACUGGUGUUAAAAAAGACCAGUAUAAACAUAUCCAAUGAUCGAGAUUAAUUGUAUACUACUAAAAACUUCACUAGUGGUAUGGAUAGUAUGCGUGAGUAGUAUAUGUGGUAUAAGGGUAUUAUGGAAAAAGAAAUAUAAAUGGCAUAUACAUAAUAUAUUUUUCUUGUUCUUUGAGAUGGUAAUAUAUCUCUCAUUUAGUAAUAAUUCGUAUGGUCCAUCAAUAUUUAGUAAUAACUAUAUUAGCAUUUGCCUAUACCAUAUACUACUGAGUGGUAGUAUUGUGUACCGUAAAAAACUUAUUUUUGAACAUUCUUGUCACAGGACGUUUUAAUUGACUUCAAGCAUGAUGUCCUCCAUCGACCAUCAUGUCCUAUUCUUUGCUCCGAGUCGUGUAGUUGUGCUUUUAAGAAAAAGGUGCUUGUGUGUUUUGCUUUUCGCGGUCUAAAAGUUUAGAUAGAUAUUUUGUACCGUAGUUGCUCAUCACUCCAAUUAUGUACACUUCUUCGCGCGUUAUUUCAUUUUCAAUCUUGGAGUCGCCGCUGCCGACCUAGAGAAUGGACUAGGGUGGCUGGCCUAAGGGUUUGGAUUCGAGAUGCUAAACUUUAGCAGGGUCACAUCGGAUGUUCGGACGCUAAUAAGAAGGACUAAAUAUGAGCUAAUUAUAAAACUAAUUGCAGAACCAUGUGCUAAUUCGCGAGAUGAAUCUAUUAAGCCUAAUUAUGGAUUAAUUAGGCUUAAUAGAUUCGUCUCACGAAUUAGACUCCAUCUGUGCAAUUAGUUUUGUAAUUAAACUAUAUUUAAUACUUCUCAUUAGUAUUCAAACAUACGAUGUGACACGUGCUAAAGUUUAAGGGGUUCACCCCCUUAAUCCCACCCUGCUGGGAUCAGCCUCCAUGGGGGCGACAGAUGCCACUGCCUAGGCAUGGCGGUGGCUGUUGCUGUAUCCCAGCGUUUGCAGGUAUACCGUAUCCCUGACAACAGGUGUGCGCAUGCAGAUUGGCCUUUCGGAUCUAUGGAGUGCUAAUAUGUGUUGCUUGAUGGUGUUGUGUCGAGGUGGGUUUGGGAUGUGCGCAUGCCGGGCCAACGAUGAUGACGUCUGUUGGUGCCACAUCCCUCUCUGGACAAUUAGACAGCCCCGACCCCUUCCCCUACCACCUGUGUUAUCAGUUCUUGCAGGUGUAAACCUUAUCUUUUGUUGAUUAGGUGAUGGCCGAGCCCAUGGCGUCGUGUCCCUCCCUCGCGGUGACACUUUGAAAGAACUCGUGCUUCAUCACAACGUACUGCUAAUUCCAUGGUUUAAGAGAAGGGCAGCAACUACUCAAGGGAAUGCAUGUCAGAUCAACAUGUCAUUUGAGUCGGAUGUUGUUAGGGAUUACGAGUCAUAUGCUGUUGAUUGGUUGGCAAAGACCAUGUGGUCUUCAGAUAUUUGUGAGAUGCUUUAGAUGCACUGUUCGCCACCUUUCUUUCGUAUGAGGAUGAUGGAGUUUUGGGGAUUUUGUGGUGUAAGAGAAUAGGAGUGACUACGUUAAGCUCUUCCUCCAUAUAUGGAUUGUAGGUUGCUAGGUAAUUUUGAGACGUAUGUUGAAUUUAAGAUCUUUUAUUGUUUAUCACUUACUGGAUCACUUUCUUCUUUCUCUCUUAUAUUUCCUUUUGACAAGGUUGUGUGUACUCCUGUUGGGGGAAAAUAUUAACAACCUCCUAAUGCCGCUUAAAGCGACAGUCAUGAAGGCCCAGGCCCACCUGCGGUAAUUACGAUUACAGCCGACCUAGUAAAGGCAAAGAACGUCCCACUCCGUCUCACCCGACCUAGGGCCUCGGGGUCGGACAAUCCCGACCCCUCGAAGGAGGGACUCUGCCUCGCCCGACCGUGGUCCCAGGGUCGGGAGCGCCCAACCCCUCGCCGCAAGGCUCCGCCUCGCCCGACCGCGGUCCUAGGGUCGGGAGCGCCCGACCCCUCGCCGCAAGGUUCCGCCUCGCCCGACCCAGAGAACCGGGGUCGGGAGCGCCCGACCCCCACCACAGAAACCCCGUCUCGUUCGACCCCGGGCACGGGGGUCGAACUCACUCGGGUCCACAAGACGGAUAUUUGCCUCGGGCCACUGGAGGAUCAGGAUAACGAUCUCGUGGGUCCCCCUAUCGACCUCGCCAUAAAUGCGUCGCGGGCCUGUCAAGCCAAAAGGGAGCGGCGUCCCCGACGUAACCAGUCCCGAAUACCGGUGCGUGGCGCAAAGUACUCAUGAGCUGCGCCGAACAACACAGGGGGGCGCAUCGCUUGCUCUCGCGCCCCGUGCUCCCAACGGCAGUGUCAGGGAUGCGACGUCCGGGUCUUACGGUAAUCGGUGGGGCAACAGAACCGGACCUCCUCCUCGGCGGGCACGGAUGCCGAGGCUGAGGCUCAUCAUCACGCUCGACGGCGACGGCGACCAGGGAGAUCAUCGACAAGAUCCGGAAGGAAUCGCCCUCCCUCGCCGGACGCGCUGACAGGGACCGGAUGCCGGAGCAAGAGCGGCGGCCUUGGGGCCCUCCCCUUGUAUUAUUUUUCUACUUAGCUUAUCCUUCCUGCUUCUUCUCCUGAGGUCCAGCUCAACUGUAACCCCGAGCUCCCUCUUGCGCUAUAAAAAGAGGACCGGGGGUCCUGAGACGGGGACGGAAACUCUGGCUCGGAAGCCAACAAUACACUCUCACACUCCCUUAGAGCACAAGCACACUCAAGAGACCUGGGAUCAGUUCCUUCUCUCGCCCUUCUGUAACCCCUACUAUAGAACCCCGCGUGGGUAACACGAGCAGCCUCGAUACUGGACGUAGGGCCUUCCUUUGCCCGAACCAGUCUAACCCCGUGUCUCCCACGCCACCAUCCGAAGCCUUACGCGCAUAAAAGAAAUUUACUAGUCUAGAGUCUUGAUCCGCAAAUCUUGACAACGACAACUACCUUGUUACAUAGGCUGGAAUCUAAGCUUUCUUCAUCCAAAAGAAGAUUAUAUAAAACAACCAGAAGGAGGGGGGGGGGAUUUUGACUGGUAAGGGAUGUUUUGCAGGAGGAUGUGCACCUCAACAUGAGUAACAUAGAAUCUGUGGGUACACUUUUAGCAACAUACCUUCAAACCACAUUCUAUGCAACAAUAAUCUUGUGCAAACCAUAUAUAGCUAUGCCCACCAUUUAUAGAACAAUGCUCAAUAGACUACAAUAUGCAUAUGAACGUGCACGGUGCACUACCGGAAUGUCUAAGUUUGUCGUGUGUCCAUGGCACACGGUGAAGCAAAAAAAAAACACUUGGCAAAGCUUUUGCCGAGUGGGCGUACACAGUGCCGGUAAAAAUGUUUUGGCCGAGUGCUAAAACCGACACUCGGCAAACAAAAAAAGCAAUGUGACGGUGCGAAGACGGUCACAUCACGAUUGCUGAGCGUCUAACGGUAUGUCCACGGAAAAACAAUCCUCGGCAAACAUGAGUCAUUUUAGACUUUAGGCACAAUUUCCUAAAGGAACACCAGAAAUUUCACAGAAAUUUUCACAUUAGCUAUGUAGAUAAUAGCAAAGUUCUUGCAAGGUGACCAUACUUGCAAGGUAUGCUCGCACGUGUUCAAAUUUGUUGUAAAUCUGCAGUUCUGUCCGAACAUAUAAUGACCUGAACAGCAAAAAGAUUUGCCUCGACAGCACCAGGGGAGGUGGGAGCUCACUGUUUACCGCUUUCUGUCCUCCCUUGCAAUCAACUCCUAUAGUGUCCAAAGACUUGACCAAGUCCAAGUCCACGCGGUCCAGGCAAGCCCACUGGCCACCGGGAAACUCGACCCCACAGCACGAGUUGGAGGCCCCACGCGGGAAAGGAAUCCUAAGCGAUGCAAUCAUCCAUAUGUGGGUCCCUCAGACAUGAUUUUUUGGCUGUGAACACUGCACAGCAACUCGCGAGAAUUUUGCCCUCAGCCUUUUUUAUCUGUAGGUUUUGGGAGCACAGAGAGAAGGAAAAAUUGGGUUAAGAUGGAGUUGUUAUUGGGAUAUGCGGAAAAGUAGGUAACGAAGUUGGACAACUGUUGGAGCUUUGGUUUUUCACCUUGGUUACCAAAAACUAGUCAUUGAAAUCAUAUAUCGGGCACUCUUAAAAAUACUCUAACUGAUGAUCUAGUACAUAUAUUUUGAACAUUAUUUUUUAAAACCUUAUAGCAACUCAAAACCUCUUUUAAUUUUUUCUACUAUCAUAAUCGUCUUAAUCUUGGUCUACUUAAAUGUUUAGACUACUUAACCUGCAAUAACGUUUCUUAUCUAGAAGAGACUAUUUGCCCAACAACUAACCGUCGUAUUCCCUCGUAAAUAGCCAUAGGGCCCAAGCUAUAUGAUCACCACCUAAACCAAUUAUUGUCUCGACCACCUAAACCAAUUAUUAUCUUUCCAACUAGCAUUUCGCUUGCGUAAAUGGAAUCCCCAUCUGCGACUGUGAGGCCCUGAGAAUUGAAGCGCCCUUCCUCUCUGACACCACCACAAGCUAGCAGAGCGGUAGAGCCAGCAGCUUCCCAGUCGAGAUGGCCGAACUGAUGGCGAGCGCCGCCACGAGCAUGAUGGGGUCCGUCAUCGGCAAGCUGACUGCCAUGCUCGGCGAGAAGUACCAGCUCGCCAGAGACGUGGAGCAAGGGAUCCGCUUCCUGAAGGAUGAGCUGAGCAGCAUGGAUGCCGUGCUGCAGAAGCUCGCAGACAAGGACGACGACCAAAUGGAUCCAAUGGAUAAAGAUUGGAGGAACAAGGUGCGUGAGCUAUCCUUCGAUAUUGAGGAUUGCGUCGAUCGCUUCAUGCUCAAUCACAGCCAUGGAGGUUCCAAGGCUAACUUUGUUCGCAAAGCCGUGCGUAAGGUGAAGAUGUUGUGGGAGGACCAGGGCAUAGCAGGGGAGAUCCAAAAACUCAAGAUACUCGUGACAGAGCAUAGUGACCGGGCCAAACGCUACCGUGCGCUUGGACCCUCGCCGCCUCACUAUCUCGCCGCCUCACCUCAGCCGGUGCGCUUGGAUCCUCGAGCAACUGCCCUCUUUCAGGAGGCGAGGGAUCCUGUGGGAAUUGAUGGUCCUCGCGAGGAAAUCAUCCAGUUAUUACAAGUUGAAGAAAAUCAACACAAGGUGGUGUCUAUCUAUGGUACCGCUGGGCAGGGGAAGACUACUCUAGCCAUGGAGGUAUACCGAAAAAUCACACAAACACAAGCAUUUGAUUGCAGGGCUUUCGUGUCUGUAUCUCAGACUCUGGAUAUGAAGAAUCUACUCAGAGAUAUAUUGUCUCAAAUAGUAAGCAAGAACGAGUUUGACCAGUUGCAGUCGGAAAAUUGGGAGACGCUGCAAAUUGAGAUACGCAAAAUGAGAGGCUACUUAAUUGGCAAGAGGUAACCAGAAUUACUUUCUUGUACUAUAAUAAUUAGCCAGUUCAUCUAGCUAUGGCAAUGUUGUGAGGUCUUUGUCGAUCACAUGAGCUCACCUAAUUUAUCGGCCAUUUUACGGUUGUAUUUUACGGACCCAUUCGAGCAUAAAACUACCACAUAUGCAUUUGUUAUAGCUAAAACCAUGACUUCAGCUGUUCAACAUAUCUACCAAAAGCCACAUAUCUUACAACAAGGUCAAGUCAGCUGCUCAUGAAUGUAGGCGUAUGUGGUUGGAGUUGGCCUGUACUAUACUAUAUAAAAUGAUUGUGUGCGAAUGAUAUUUGAGUAGAAAAUUAUUUACUCUAUACCAUCAAAUAAUUUCAGAUUCAAUAAAAUUAUUUCUUGAUAGCUUCAACCAUGUUUGUUUCGUAUAGCCAUUCUAAAUAUCCAUAAAAAUCUUCUUUAAAAAUUAAGUUUUCAAACUGAACGCUUCUUGUGUUUCAGUGGGUCUCAUGUGGAGGAAGCUACUAUUUUGGAGGUUGUAGACAGAUUCUUUUCCGAUAGUAGAGGAAGUAGUUUCCAGCCUCUAUUCCUAGCACGUGUAAUACGAACUGACAGAAAAAAUAAGCCACCACUAUCCAUCGCUUUACUUUUCUCCAAUAUCUUUCACCAUGAUAUGCUCUAUAUGUUGAAUAGUUAUGGUGGCCUUGUAACAUGAUUCCUCAACCAAUGCAUGCAGGUACUUCAUCUUGAUUGAUGAUAUCUGGAAUGUAUCAGAUUGGGAGCUUGUACAAGCUGCCUUACCUCGCAAUGACAACGGAAGCAGAAUAAUUACUACAACUCGCAGUAAAACAGUAGCCGAAACAUGUGCUGGUAUUGAUGCACAAAUGUACAAAGCAAAGCCACUUGGUGAUGACGAAUCUCGCAGAUUAUUCUUUAAAAGGCUAUUUCACU